RNAcentral lists this long non-coding RNA (47365 nucleotides) under Eucalyptus grandis. Its description in RNAcentral is "long non-coding RNA (EGRA_LNC002574)". Lineage: Eukaryota; Viridiplantae; Streptophyta; Magnoliopsida; Myrtales; Myrtaceae. The record is from RNAcentral.
GUGAGAUCUCUUGAAGUCCUUCGAGAAGUUCCCUCUUUUCUUUGCGUAUUAUGUGCAUCUUGUUCACUUCUGUGAGAUGGGGUUUUGAUGUUACUCUCUCCUGGGUGUUCUUGAACACUUCUCUUGGCAUCUCUCGUCUCAAGCUUCAUGAGUUAUCGUUUGCUUCUUUGCGCUGCUGUAAUUGUUUAUCGCAUAGCAUGAUUGUAUCUGUUUAUGUGAAUAAGAAUGCUCGGUAUACCAAAUGAUGCUUCGAAUUCUUAUUCAUUGUUGGUUAUAUAUGGCCAACCUUUUCAAAGCUACUCCGUCGCACCACUCGUGAAUGUCGAGUCCAGUCGUCCUCGUGAGAGAUAGAUAUUUACUCAAAGUCUAACUGGGCUUUGUUUUCCUCAAACUUUUGCAGAAGUUGGUGGUGAAGGUGAAUCUACACGAUGACAGAGACAGAAGCAAGGCCAUGCAAGUAGUUUCUGGUUUUGGAGGUAUUGGCUCUCUCUCUGUCACCGCCACCCCCCCUCUUUCCUCUGUUUUUCCCCUUCAUUCUCCCACUGAAUGUUCAAAUGUCACUGUAAUAACUAAUCAUCUUGCGCUUGAAAUGUUCGGCUUUAUCACUAACCUUUCUCACAUAAUGCUUUCCAGGGAUUGGGUCUCUGUCUAUGGACUCGAAGGACAACAAACUGACGGUAUCCGGCGAUUUCGACCCUGUCAAGGUGGUGAACAAACUGAGGAAAUCUUGGCACACAGAAAUCGUGAGCGUUGGAGCAGCCAAGGAAGAUGAUGGCAAGAAAGACGAGGGCAAGAAAGACGAGGGAAAGAAAGAAGAGGGCAAGAAAGACGAUCAAGUCGCCAAUCUCGUAAAAGCCUAUGAAGCAUACUAUUCUACGCCGGUCACAUAUUACUGCGUGCCGCCAGAAGAGACUCCAAAUUGCGUCAUUUGUUGAAAUUCUUUGCGCUUCCAGACCGAAUCAGGACUUGGUUUGUGCAUCGGAGAGGAUUGAAUAAGUAAGGUUGAUUAUGCCUUACGAAGACAAGAACAACUGGAGUACCUUUUCUAGAAUUAUAGGCUUUUAUUGCGUCGUUCGCUACACGCAUGUGCGUAGGGUGUAUAUAUAUAGAGAGAGAGAGAUUGGUUUUCACUUGAGGAACUCAAGUUAUGUAAAAUCCAUUAUGUACUCCAGCAAACGAUUGUUUCUGGUGACUAGAAUAUUAUAAAUAUUAUUAUUCUGAUGAAUUAUAAUAUUCUUGAAAAGAGUACCGUCAGAUACUAAAUGUGAUCCAUGCUUAUGUUUCGUUGACUUAGUAAUUGCUUUGGCUUAUGAUAAAUUCUGAUGACUGGUUAGGUCGAGUGACUUCAGGCAAGCUGCAAACAAGCAGGUUAUACUUGCUGAAAUUACUCGAAAACUUAACCAAACCAAGAUAAGAAAAUGUGGCCUUAGACCUUGCAUGCUGAAAAUUGUUGUUGUUUUCUUGUGUUGCUUGCUUAAAUUUGAUCGCGAGUGUGAACCCCGGAUAGGUCAUUUAACUAACCAGUGCCGUUCUUAUCAAUUAAAUGAGAACAAAAAGGACAGCUCUAUUUCAUUGCAUCGUUUGGAAGUUGUUGACACCUAUUUUAAAAUUUAAUUUAUUUUUUAGAAAAUAAUAAUAUAGCAUUUGUUUGCAGAGGGAAAUUUUGAAAUUUUUUUUUUGAAUUCAAAAUAAUUCAACAGCCGGAUUUUGGAGCCAUUUCUUUGUUGAAGAGGUUGGGUGAAUAUCGCCGGAUCUUCGACAAUUUCAAGUUUUUCUUCUAUAAAAGAGAAGUCGAGGCUUCGGUUUAGGGGUUCCUCUUCGUCCAAAAAAAGUGAAAAGUGAAAGGAGGAAAAAGAGAAAAGAAGGCUUCGAUUUGUGGGAGAGGAAAAAAAAGAAAUGUUGAGAAAGAGAAGAAAGUUUCCUGUAGAAAGUACACAGGGAGCAGAAAGAGACAGGGACAGGUGAGAGAAAGAGGGUGACGUGAGAGCAGGAGAGAAAAGAAAACAAAAAAAAGCAGAGGGAAAAGAGAAGCAAAAGUUCAAUCGGCAGGGGGGAUUGGACGUUUACUGUUCAUCCUAUUCCCCCUGCACUCGCCGGAAUUUGCGGCCUGCAGACCGACGGCUCCUUUUCUGCUUCAAUCCGGCGACGCUCAAGUUCAAAACCGGAACCCGACGGAAAGCCCCCUGAUCCGCCGGCCCCUGUUGCACUGACGCUCGCCUCACAACCGCCCUGCUGCCGACGCCACCCUCGUCCGAGUACCAGCACCAACGCCGCUCCCCAUCGAGACACCACCGGCUGCCCGCGCACCUCAACCCAUGAUCUGCAUCUCAGCUCGCCGCCGGUGAAACCCCUCGCGACGCCGGACUUGCACCCGAAGCCCCGCCAACGACCCAGCGACGCCGGAGCCCCUCUGCAGAUCCCACGACGGCCCCGCUUCCGAUCAGCGCCUGCACCUGAAGUUUCCCCGCGCUGCUCUGCCUCGUGAUGCUGCAGCACCUCUGUUCGUGACCACCCCCUGCGACGCCAGCAGAUCCAGUGCCCACCGUCGCGCUACCUCUGUUCCGCCGACGAAACCGCUCCUGUACUGAUUCGAGCCACCGCCGAUUCACCUCUUCACCGCUCGCCCACCGCCGGUUCACCUUCGUCGGAGCCCCCCUGCUGGUCCGACGACGUGCUACUCCCCAGUGACCCAGAGACUCACGAGCACGUGACUAGAAGAAAAAACAAAAGAAAAAAACAAAAACAAAAGAAAAAGAGAAAAGCAAAUUAGGUAGUUUGCUUUUCUUUAUUUUAUUUAUUUUGUUAUUAUUGUUCAAUUUAGAAUAUUGAGAUGUGCUUUUCUUUUAUAAAUCUCGUAGGUAUUUACUGCAGGUACUUUAUCUCAAAUUAUGGUAAUUAUUAAUUUGACCCGUAAGACGUCAGGUCAUUUUUUUAAUUACUUUAAUUUUUAGGAAUUUUGAUAGCAUUUCAAUUGUUAAAUUGUUAUAGAGUUAAAAUAAUUGUUAAUUUAAUCCGUGAGACAACGGAUUAUUUUUUCGGUUAUUUUAAUUCUUAUCUUCAUUCUUUUAAAAUAAUGACUUGUUUGGAAAGAUUAAAAAAUAAAAAAUAAAAAAAUCAGAAAAUACAUAAAAAUCUAAAUAUUGCAUUAGAGCAUUUAGAUUUUGCAAAUUAGGACUGUAUUUUUAGGGUUAGUAAAAUUAGAAUUGCAUUUAUAGGAUUAUAAUUUUUAGAUUAUACUUUUAGAUGGGUAAUUUUUGUUAGGACUAAUUUUAAAUAAUGUUGGCAUGUCUUAUUUUUUUUAUAUAUAGCUUCUAAGAUAAGAUAUAGUUUAAGUUAAUUGUUUCCUAAAAUAAAUUAGAAUAUCAUUCACUUUAGUUAGUCUAAUUAGUUUUUUUUUUUAAUUCCAAACUUCAAUAAAAAGAAUCCAAAAAUAUUAGGUACAUAUUAAUUAACUUGCGUACUAGGUUUAAUUAGAAUAUUGUCAUAUCUAGAACUUAGGGAUUUAGGUCCAUACACAUUGCAUGCCAUAUAAGUUAUAGUUUAAUUGUUUUUUUAAUAAAAAAGAAAAUGCUAAAAGAUGAACAUUGCAUCAUUUAUAUUAAAAAAAAAGAUAAUUUCCUUGGUUAGUUAAUAUGUUAAUUCAUAAUUAAUCUCAUAUCAUCAUUAUUUAGCAUAUGUUGCAUAUAUGCAUUAAAAACAAAUCAUCAUUAAAAUAAAAUCAUAAAAGAGCAUGCAUGUAAAAAUACCAUGUCAUUCAUCCCAUAUCACGUAGCACAUGCAUAUUUAGAAUUAUAUAAAUUAGAUUGCAUACAUAUAGUGAUAAGUUUAAGUCAUACCAUAUGAAUUGCAUCUCACAUAUCAUUAAAGUAAAAUCCAUGCAUAUUAAAUUUAGAUUAAGAUUGCAUAUAAUUAAAAUUUAAAAAAAGAAAAGAAAAAUUAGGUGUCAUGUCAUUUAGAAAUCAUGUUUAGGGCAUGCAUUUUUAUUAGCAUUUUUUUAUUAUUGAAUGUUAUUUUAUUGAUUGUGCACUCGUAUGACCACCAUUUGCAUAUUAGUAGCUUAAGUUAAAAUUAAUCAACAUUGCCUGCAAAAUAUUUUUGAAAUUAAAAUAAAAGGUACCGAAAGGGCGUUAGACUAAUCUAGCGUAAUCAUGUCCCCGGACUUAUUGAAUCUCUGGUUCGUAAAAAUAAAGUAUUCUCUCAUACUUUAUUUGGGUUUCUAAUCAACCCUAAUUGAUUAGUGGCGACUCCAAAUUGAAUAGAAUUGCAUGUUUAAAUAGAUUAAUUUCUAUUAAGUCGCGAUUGGUAGGACUUGGGAGGGUCCGUGCCAAGUCUUCAGACUUAGUAAUCCAUUAACCUAGUUUUAGGUGGUGAACACCAUGAAAAAAUUAGGUCGCGACAAAAGUAUUUGAUGGCGUCGCUACAACCCUCAUCAAUGAUUACCGAUAUAUUUCCCUAUAAGUUGAAGGAAAAAGGGAGCUUUUAUGACCAUUAUUUGCGGACUUGAUGGGCCUGCCACAGGACCGAGGAUGGGUCGGUGCUCUUUUGUUCAUCUUUGAAGACAUGAUAUAUACUCAUAAAUCAUACCAUCCUAGUUAAUAAACUUUAUAAUGGCGAUCAUUCUCACUCAAUCUUCUCCAAGUCAAUAGUAAUGGAUUUCAUUAAUGAGAGUCAUAUGUCACAUGCUGGUUGAUCUAGCAUUCUCUUACCCGUAUGGCUUUAGAAAUUUUUUUCCAAGCCAACAUAGUUCACACACUCACAAAGAUGGUGGAGAGAAAUUCUUUUGUAGAGAGAAUCUCUGAAAUUUAAAUAUUUGUAAGAUGAUCCAAACAAAAGGAGGAGACCUUUAGAGUGUCAAAAUUUGACACAGAAUGAUACUUAAGCGUUAAAAAUUAGGAAAGUGACAUUUAUGUACAAAAAUCGAAGCAAAAUGGAUCAUUUAAGUGCCAAUGACAAAAAAAUCCGACCAAAAUGCUAACAAGAUGAUUUUCCAGUGAGGCAAAUGCAAAACGACACGUUGCACAUGUUGAUGUGGCUAGACAAGUGUAAAAACGAUAUCGUUUUGCUAUUGAUGUGAGUAAAUAAUUAAUAUAAAAAUUAAUCAAAUUAAAUUUAAAACUAAAUUUAUUUAUUUAUUUUUUUUUAAAUGGAGAUUACAGGUGCCAAGAGCUCGCGAGCCCUCGCCCAGAUCUGGGGUGAGGGUUGCCCCUAGAUCUGGCGAGGGUCGGCGGCCUUUGGCCCGGCUGCACGAGGGCUACCAACCCUCGUUGGAUUUGGGGGAGGGCUCGCGAGCCCUCGCCUUAGGUCAGUUGGGGUCGCCGGCCCCUUGCCAAGGGCUGGUGACCCCGGCGACCUUGGCCAACCCUACCCACAUGGUCAUUGACCCUUCUUGGCGAUAGUAAAGAGGCAACGGCGACGAGGGCUGAGCUCUUAGCUGCAUGCUUCCUUCUGUUAGAGAAAACUUCCUUGCGUGUUUUGAAGCUGACAAAACGUUUCCAUCAGUCUAGUCUGAAAACUUGCAGACUCUUUAGUCAAAGUCUGAAGAACGCCGGACCGCCAGACUCAAGAUUCAAAGUCUAUCUUUAUUGACAGUUUCUAGACCGUCGAAGAAGACUUAUCUAGAAUUGGGUAUUUCGUUAAGGAUUUGAUUCUAUCGACUGAAGAAGAUUUCUCGGCUGAAUAUAGCAUCUUGGAAUCUAUUAUUCAUUUUGAUUUCAAUUCGGGUAAUUUAGAUCCGUUGAUUGAUGAAGCAUACUUGGAAGGUUCUACUUAUGAAAACUUAGAUCCUGAUUAUGGGCGAGCAUGAUUGAUGGGCUAUCGUCAUAUUUCUUAAAUAACUCGAGAUCUUCCUAAUUGAUUCUGUUCAACGGGUAGAUUGGAAGAGCUCCUUUGGUAAAUGCCAACGGGUAUGAAGGCAUGGAGGAGUAUACAAGGAAGACGUUCUAGUUAUUCAAGUGUGUGCGCGAUAGAAGAAUUCCAAAGUCUGAAACUUCUUGUUCUUUGUCAAUUCAAUUGUUGAGCGAAAACUUGUACUCAAAAGAGUGUUUAUACUUCUGUGAGACCUUGAGGAAGUGUAGCAGAGUCUCUGCACGGUGGAAUCAAGGAAGAGCUAUACUGUAACAACUCUUUUGAUUCUUAGUGAAAUCUAGUCAGUGGGCUGUCAGUGUAGAAGAGUGGACGUAUGCUUGGAUUAAGUCGAACCACUAUAAACAUUGUGUUCUUAUUCUCUUCCCUAAGCUCUUUUACUUUGAUCGUAAAUCUAUUUGAUUAUUAGAGUCUAAUUUCCUUUUCAAAUCUAUUGCUAAAUAGAGUUGGUUUAAAAGUAAAAUUAUAUACUUUACUCUGCAAAUUUUAUUUUCGCACCUAUUCACCCCCUCUAGGUGCUCGUACUAGCCUUCACAAUUGGUAUCAGAGCAUGUGUACUCAUUUAAGUUGAAGUGUUUUUUACUUUAGAGUUAACGAUCCAUGGCUAGUAUGUUGGCUCCAGGUCUGGUUGAAGGGCAAAGUAAUACCAGACUGCCUUAUUUUGAUGGAAAAGAAUACAGCAUAUGGAAAAACAAGAUGAAUGCAUUCUUAAGAUCAAAAGAUCCUCUGGAAUGAGACGUGGUAGACAAAAGAAUCAUUCCUAAAGCUGCAACAGUCUCAGAAAGGGGAAAAGAAGCUAUUGAGUCUAGUGAAAUGACUCAAGAAGAGAUAACCAAGAGACAAGCUCUUGAUGCAAAAAUAAUUUAUUCCUUAUAUUGUGCAUUAUCUCCUACUGAAUAUAACAUAAUAUAUUCUUGUGAAAUAGCUAAAGAAGUCUGGGAUAGAUUGCACAUCACCUACGAAGGAACCGAUCGAGUGAAAGAAACCAGAAUCAAUAUUCUGCUCGGUCAAUAUGAAGCAUUCAAGAUGAAACCAGGAGAAUCAAUCACUGACAUAUUUAGUCGUUUUACAGAAAUCGUGAAUGGUCUUGAGUACCAAGGUCAACCAAUAUCUGGACCCAUGAAUGUUAACAAGUUACUGCGUGGACUUUUUCAAAGAUUGGAAUCACAUAAAGACCUCAAUAAGGGAGACACAAAGAAUCAUGCCACUCUUUGUUGACGAAUUGGUUGGCACUCUUCAAUCUUAUGAAGUGGAGCAAAUCAACGAAGAUGAAGAUCUCAAAGGUAAGAAAUCCAUUGCAUUAAAAUCUAAUGAUGAUUCUGAUGUCACAGAUUCUGAAGACGAUAUGGACGAUGGAGAGCUUGCUCUCGUAAUAAGAAGGUUCAGAAAAUUGAAUAGAAAUGGAAGAAGAUUCAAUCCGAAGAAACAAAGUUCUCAAAAGCUACAAAAUAAAUCAGAUGAGGAUGAUGAAUCCAACAAGGAUGUAAUCUGCUUUAAAUGCAAGAAAAAUGGACACAUCAAACCUAACUGUUUCCUGCUGAAGAGAAAGAAAGGAAAGGCUAAGAAAUAUAAAAAAACACUUAAAGCAGAAACUUGGAGUGAUACCGAGUGUGAAGAAAGUGAUGAUGAUUAUGCUAAUAUUUGUCUCAUGGCACACUCAGAAUCAAAUUCAGACUCUGAGACAAACUCAAACUCAUACAAUGAAAUCGAGGUAAGUAAUUUAAAAAUUCUUAAUAAAGUCUCUAAAUAUAUUGAUGAAUUGUGUCUUAAUUUCAAAAUAUCUCUUAAGAGGUUUUUCGAACUUAAAAGGGAAAAUUCUGCACUGAAGCAACGGGAGAUUGUUUGGAAAGAAAAGGUUGAAAGUUUAGAUAAAAGUGUUAUUACUUAGAAAGAAAAUGCAGACAAUCUUUAAAAAAAAAAAUGCAUUUUUUAAAAAUGAUAUCUCAAGUAUUUCUAAAAGGUUUUCUAUAGGAUCUGAGAAAUUAGAAAAGAUUCUUUUAGCGCAAAGAUCUUACUUCAACAAAUCAGGUUUGGGAAUGACUGCUGAAACCAUUCAUUUAAUUGAUUUUCCUAAGGUAAAGGAAAGAAUUAAACAAAGACCUACAAAAGAUUCUUACAAAAAUCAUUUCCAAAUUUUUUUUGUAAAACCUGUAGACCGUAGUACUUUUAAAUGUUCUAAGUGUAACAGCUUAGAACAUUUUGAGAAAUAAUGUCUCAUGGUUUGGAAACCUGUUAAAAAGGUUUGGGCAAAAAUUGUAUAUCACACUAACUCCAUUGGACCCAAAAAAGUAUGGAUACUAAAAAAAACUUGAGUUUCUUAUUUAAAAGCAGGUCACUAUCAAGAAAAAUGUUAAAUGGUACUUGGAUAGUGGAUGCUCAAAACAUAUGAAGGAGACUCAAAUUGUUUCAUAAAGCUUGUGCAAGUUAAUGGUGGAAAAGUUUCUUUUGGAGGAAAUAGCAAAGGCAAACUUGUGGGAUACAGAACUGUAAAGAUUGAAAGUCUCACGAUCAGUAACAUUUCAUUAGUAGAACGACUCAACUACAACUUGCUAAGUAUCAGCCAGCUGUGCGACACCGGUUUCAAAAUCAAAUUUCAAGAAGGAAUAUGUUCAGGAACCAGUAAAGACUUCUCUCAGACUUUCACAGGGCAAAGACAUGGGAAUAUAUAUCUCUUGAUAUCAAACCAGAAAAAUCUCAAUGUCUAAUCUCAAUUCAAGAGGAAGCGAAUCUAUGGCACAGAAAACUUAGACACAUCAACAUGAAGCAAAUAGACAAAAUCUCAGCAAAGAAGUUUGUUCGUGGACUAUCCAAUUUGACAUACCAAAAGUCUGAUCUAUGCACAUCAUGUGUAUUGGGAAAAUAUGUAAGAAAUUCUUUCAAACCAAUAAAUCAAGUGUCCACUAAUCGUGUACUACAACUCUUGCAUAUGGAUCUCUUUGGACCAACCAGAACUCAGAGCAUUAGAGGUAAUAAAUAUUGCUAGUAAUUGUGGAUGAUUAUUGACGAUUCACUUGGGUAUAUUUCUUGGCAAGUAAGUUUGAAACCUUUUCUUAUUUUAUAAACUUUGCUAAGAAAAUUCAAAAUUCAAAAUGUAUGUUAUUUCAAGUAUACGGAUAGAUCAUGGAGGUGAGUUUGAAAAUCAAGACUUUGCUAAAUUCUGUGAUGAAUUUGGUUUUCAGCAUGUAUUCUCCUCACCAUACACUCUAGAGCAUAAUGGAGUUGUGGAAAGGAAGAAUGAUCACCGUAGGAAAUGGCUAGAACUCUUUUAAUUGAAAGUAACAUUUCUUAUUGUUUUUGGGCUAAAGCAGUUUCUACAGUGUGCUAUAUUAUUAAUAGAGUCUUCUUAAGGCCUAUUCUACAGAAAACUCCCCAUGAGUUGUUUAAAGGAAAGAAGCCAAUUGUUUCCUAUUUUUAUGUGUUUGGAUGCAAAUUUUUUAUAUUGAAAAAUGCAAAUGAUCAAAUUGGUAAGUUUGAAGAAAAAUCAGACAAAUGUAUCUUCCUUGGAUAUUCAACAAAAAACAAAGCCUACAGAGUACACAACAAAAAGACUCAAUCUGUGGAGGAAUCGAUUAAUGUCAAAUUUCAAGACUUUAUGCAGAAUCAAUCGAUUCAGACUCAACCUGAAGAAUCUGAACCUGCUCAAGACUCUACAAAGUCUAAAUCUUUAGAAGCAGCUCAAACUUCAGAAGACCAGCAAUGAAUGAUCAUUGAAGAUUCAAAUGAAGAAAAAGACCAUCAGUCUGACAAAUCAACCAACAACUGGAAACACAAGUCUAGUCAUCCCAAGGAACUCAUUAUUGGUGAUAUUGAUGAAAGAAUUCGUACAAGAUCCAAAAUGCGUGAAGAGUCUAGUGCUGUGGCUCUUAUUUCUGAAAUAGAACCCAAGAGCAUAGAAGAAGCUUUAAUUGAUGAAAGCUGGAUUGAAGCUAUGCAAGAACUUAGGUAAUUUAGUAUCAAUGAUGUAUGGGAAUUAACUCCUCAACUGAAAGGUAAAUCUAUCAUUGGAGCUAAAUGGGUUUUCAGGAACAAGAUGAACGAGAAAGGAAAAUUUGUAAGGAACAAAGCAAGACCCGUGGCCAAAGUAUAUACUCAAGAAGAAGGGAUAGACUAUGAUGAGACUUACACACCAGUAACAAAGUUAGAAGUAAUUAGAUUAUUACUUGUUUUUACUUGUUAUAAGAAUUUCAGGUUAUUCCAAAUGGACGUCGAAAGUGCUUUCUUAAAUGGAUUUAUCCAAGAAGAAGUCUAUGCGGAACAACCUCUCAGUUUUGAAGACCUAAGGAAACUAGACUCUGUAUUCAGACUGAAAAAAGGCUCUAUAUGGUUUAAAGCAAGCAUCCCGAACUUGGUACGAUAGGUUAAGUAAAUUUUUAAUUCAAAAUAGCUUUGUUAAAGGUAAAGUAGAUACUACACUGUUUAUCAAAAGAGAAAGCAAAUUUUUUUUACUUGUUCAAAUUUAUCUUGAUGAUAUUAUUUUUAGAUCUCCUAAUGAAAAUUUAUGCAAGAAAUUUUCUAAGUCUAUGUAGGAUGAAUUUGAAAUGAGCAUGAUGGGAGAACUAACCUUCUUUCUGGGGCUUCAAGUGAAACAAUUGAAUGAAUGAAUUUUCAUUUGCCAAGAAAAUAUGCUAAAGAACUUGUUAAAAAGUUUGGUUUAGAGAAUUGUAAAAAGACAGAUAUAUCAAUGUCAAGUUUCUCGAAGCUAGACAAAGAUGAAGGAGGAAAGAAAGUUGACCAGAAGCUAUACAGGAGUAUCAUUGGUUCACUUCUUUAUCUUACUACUUUUAGACCUGAUAUUCUGUUUAGUGUUUGUAUUUGUGCUAGAUUUCAAUCAAUCCCUAAAGAAUCUCAUUUGAGUGUUGCUAAACGUAUCAUCAAAUAUGUUACUUCAACCGCUAAUUUCGGUAUCUGGUAUCCUAAAGAAUGAGACUUUACUCUUAUUGGAUAUUCAGACGCAGAUCUAGUAGGAUGCAGAGUCGAUAGAAAGAUCAUCUUGGGCACCUGUCAAUUACUUGGGAACAUGACGGUAUCUUGAUUUUUGAGGAAGUAAAGUACUGUAGCUCUUUCUACAGCAGAAACAGAAUAUGUGGUUCUUGGAAGUUGUUGUUCACAAAUUUUGUGGAUAAAACAACAGUUAAGAGACUUUGGAAUUGAAGAUUCGUGCACUGAAAUCAAAUGUGACAACACUAGCGUGAUUAACCUCACCAAGAAUCCAAUUCUUCAUUCAAGAGCAAAGCAUAUAGAGAUUCGAUAUCAUUUUAUUAGAGAUCAUGUUCAAAAUGGAGAAAUCUCGAUUCAAUUCAUUGACUCAAAGAAUCAACUAGCGGACAUCUUCACAAAGCCUUUGGAGAAAAGUCAAUUCGAGCUUAUUCGUUCCAGACUUAAUAACUUAAAGUCUGAAGAAGUUCAGACUUAGGGAUAAAAGUCUAAUGAAUACUCAGACUCAGAAGAUCAAGAUUUAUGACUGUAAGUUAUUCUUGUUUUUGGAAAUUUAUUUCAUAGAUAAAAUCUCGAAAAUGUACGAUUAUCUAUUAAUCUGUAAUUGAUUGAUGUUAUCUUCCCCAGCUUUCGUGAUUAUUGCAAUUAUUCCUUUUCGAAAAAGGAGUUAUUUUUGAAAAGACGGUAAUCUUUUUUCAAAAAAGGCAGUUAUUUUUUGAAAAGGCAUUUUAUAUUUUUCCUUUUACGUUGUUCCGUAUGCCUCUUUUCGAUUGCUUUAUAUACUGAUUGUCUUCCUCACAAACCCUAAAAAGCACAGAACUUCGUUUUCUUACUUUUACUCUCUAGUUUAAUCUUCAAAGUUCUCACCUUUUUCGCGAAUCAAGUUUGGAAUCUCUCAAAGACUGUGAGAAUGGCGUCCCAAAGAAAGUCUUUAAGGAUCACGGACAGGGGACCACAACACAUGCGUGAGGUCCUACACAUUUUGACCUUACUGAGGAAGAAGAAUCCCCAAGACAGUAGCAGAGCCCACAACAUUCUCAACCGCGUCAAUCUCCUCAAGCUAGACCUCAAGGUAGUGAUCAUAGAGCGGAGGAAGAAAUCAUUGAAGGCGUAGAACCCGUAAGAUCUCAUAAGCCCGGUUUUUAUCUUUAAGCUUUACUCUGCUUUGAAGAGAGGAGUCACUCCCUUGAAAUAUAUUGAUGAAUUUUUGAAAGAGAAAAGGGUAUUGAAAUGAAACCCACUUUUUGCGAAUAAUGGAACAAUUGGAAAUUGCUUUUGCGGGAUUGGCAGAUCGAGCAUUUGUGAAUAUUCCUAGUGAUCCACAUGUUGGAGGUCUUAGUCAGCCUGAUGGGAAUGAUUAUGACAAAAUGUACACUCAUUUCAAGCCUAGAAUGGGUGUUGGGGCAAAUAUUCAAAGCAAAAGGACAGAUUUGUUUCGCUCAGAGGAACACAAGCGACUUUACUCCAAGUUGCUAAAAAGAGGAGUGAUCAAUCCAAGAAGUGUAGACUUUGAUUUUCUUGAUUCUUUGAAUGUGAAGCUACGAGAGAAAUUCACUCAACUUCAGCUUGAGCGAUUUUGUUUUGAGAUGACAGAGGCAUAUCCAAAACUUACUACUUACUUCUAUUCUAAUAUAAGUUUCUUGGAUGCGAAUAGAUUUUCGUUUAGUGUUCGAGACCAGGAUUAUAUCGUUGACAUGGACACAUUAGCAGAUGUGAUUGGAGUAGAGCGAGGGGCAUUCCAAUCGAUUAGCGUGUCUGUUGGUCGUGCGACAGUGGAGCUUGUUCGGGAUGGAAUGGCUGAAGGAAGAAUUCCGUACUUGAGGAUGAAUGCCUCUAACAUUUUGCUUCACAAGAUCGUGAUCAAUUGCCUCAGACCCAAGUCAAUCUUGAAGACUGACGUCUCUAACUCAGCAGCAAAGUUGAUGUAUGCCAUCAACGUUGGCAAGAAGUUCUCUUAACCUCACACAAUCAUGUUUCACAUGUAAGAACGAUGGCGAAAGAUAGAGGGCAAUUUCCGUACUCAGCGCUUGUUACAAAGCUUUUAAGAUGUUUUGAUAUUCAACCUCCCAGGAUUUUAUGGUGGUGGGACUGAAAAUAGUUUCCAAAAUGCGUCUGAAAGAGCUGGACAAAGCUUUGGAGCGAUUGAAGGAGAAAAUCCCGGUCAAGACUCACCAAGGUCCUUUAGUUGCAAAACGGAAAGGGAAGGAGCCCAUGAUAGCUCCAUUCAAGAAAAGAAGAGCACUAGUCUUGGAGGAUGAAGAGGAUGAGGACGAUAUUACCAUUUCCGCUCUUGCAUUGAGAAAUCUACAAAGUGCUGCUCCAGAGACUGAGGAGAGAGAGGAUCAAGGUAGAGACGAAGAAGAGGAAAGGAGUGGAGAGAGAGAAAUAAUGCAAAAAGAAGUAGAGGAGGAAAGGAUUGCAUAAGAAGAAGAAGGCAAAUGUGAACAGGAGGAAACAUAGCAUGAAGAGUACUUCUCACCUCCUGAGGGAAUUGAAACAUGGGGAGUUGUUGAGAAAAGAGGUACAUCUUCAAUUGCUGUUACUAGUGAAGGUGUUAGUCGUUCACCUGCAGAUCCAGAAAACAUCUGUGCCUCUCAAUUCCCUAAGGAAGGUCAUGAGGUUUCAUCGCAAAAUUUGAGUGAUCAUGCUGGCUUGCCAUCAUCUAUCAAUACACCUACUGAUCGUGCAAAAGCUAGCACUCAGACUAAUAAUUCAGCAGACUUUCAUAGAGUACUUGAUGUUUUUAUGGAGAUACGAGGCCAAAUUUAUGCUUUGGGAUGCGAAGUUCAGAACUUGCAGAAUGUAGGUCAAGCCUCUUCAGUUUUCUUGCAUGAUCAAAUUUAUGCCCUUGCUCUUCAAGUUUAAGCAAUUGCCAAGGGUGAAGAUGUUGCUCAACUGAAGGAAGGUUUGAAAAAGCUGGAAGGGAUUGUCCAGUCAAUGUGAGAUUUCUAGCUUAUUCGCGUACCUAGGAAAUCAUAAUUUCAUUCUCUUUUUCUCUACCUUUUUAAUGCUGACAAAAAUGGGGAGAGAUGUUGCAAAUUUGAGAUUUAACUCUUGACUUUUUGAUUGACUUUACUUUUGUUUGGCUGUUUGGUUGUGAUUGGAUUUGGAUUUAGAUUGUUUGAUCGUUUGUUUUAAGCAUUAUUGGUAUUUCAUGGCAAAUAUAGUUGUUUAUUUACAGGACUAACUUAUUUCCUGUGGAUGCGGAUCUAAUGCUAUCUUUACUAAGUCAAUUAUCUUUUGUGAGAUAUCCAUGUUCGCUUGAGUAUUGUUUUGCAGGUCAAAGAUAUCCAAAUCUGUGAGAAAGUUUUAUCACCAUUAAAAAUGGGGAGAUUGUUGGAGAAAACUUCUUUGCGUGUUUUGAAGCUGACAAAAUGUUUUCAUCAGUCUAGUCUGAAGACUUGCAGACUCUUUAGUCAAAGUCUGAAGACCGCCGGACCGCCAGACUCAAGAUUCAAAGUUUAUCCUCAUUGACAGUUUCUAGACCAUCAAAGAAGACUUAUCCAGAACUGCGUAUUUCGUUAAGGAUUUGAUCCUAUUGACCGAGGAAGAAUUCUCAGCUGGAUAUAGCAUCUUGGAAUCUAUUAUUCGUUUUGAUUUCAAUUCGAGUAAUUUAGAUCCGUUGAUUGACGAAUCAUACUUGGAAGGUUCUACUUAUGAAAACUUAGAUCCUGAUUGUAUAGGCGAGCAUGAUUAAUGGGCUAUCAUCAUAUUCCUUAAAUAACUUAGGAUCUUCCUAAUUGAUUCUGUCCAACGGAUAGAUUGGAAGAGCUCAUUUGGUAAGUGCUAACGGGUAUGAAGGCAUGGAGGAGUAUAUAAGGAAGACGUUCCAGUUAUUCAAGUGUGUGCAAGAUAGAAGAAUUCCAAAGUCUGAAGCUUCUUAUUCUUUGUCAAUUCAAUUGUUAGGUGAAAACUUGUACUCAAAAUAGUAUUUAUACUUCUGUAAGACCUUGAGGAAGUGUAGUAGAGUCUCUACACUGUGGAAUCAAGGAAGAGCUAUAUUGUAACAACUCUUUCGAUUCUUAGUGAAAUCCAAUCGGUGGGCUGUCAGUGCGGAAGAGUGGAUGUAGGCUUGGAUUAAGCCGAACCACUAUAAACCUUGUGUUCUUAUUUUAUUCCCUAAGUUCUUUUACUUUGAUCGUAAAUCUAUUUGAUUAUUAGAGUCUAAUUUCCUUUUCAUAAUCUAUUGCUAAACAAAGUUGGUUUAAAAGCAAAAUUAUAUACUUUACCCUGCAAAAUUUAUUUUCGCACCUAUUCACUCCCUCCAGGUGCUCGUACUAGCCUUCACACCUUCCUCCUCCUACAUAUAUGCUUUUAAUUAAUUUUUACAUUAAAAUUCAAAUCCGCACCAAAAUGACGUCAUUUUUGCAUUUUUUUUCUGAGUCAACUUUUCGGCGAGUCACAUAAGGGAGCAAAAAUAAUGAAAAAUUGCCAUAUAAGAUUUCCGGCGAAAUUCAUCGAAGGUGGCACUUAAGUGCCUCACUUUAAAAAAAAAAAAAGUGACACUUAAGUGUCACUUUCCUAAUUUUUAAUAUUUAAGUAUCACAUUGUGCCAAGUUUUGGCACUUAGGCUAUACUAAGUACUCUUUAGAUUACAACCAUAGAUGUCUCAUCAAUCUAAUAGUGGAAAUUCUGUCUUCCUAUAUGCCAAUCUAUGCAUUUAUUAUAGGAACACUUUGGAGUAAUGUACAUUUACAAUAUUACUCGUCCUAGGGAUAUUCUUAGGAAUACUAGAGAGGAUUGCUUGAUCUUCUAGGAUCAUUCUCGGUCCUUUGUACACGGGAAUCCUUUGGACCAUGAUAUUCUCCUCCACCUAAUAGGGUGACACCCUUGUUGCAUUUUUGGCAUAGAAUGCAUCGGAUUUGCUUUUUGAAUUGCCAAAGAGCUUCCACAAGUUCUUGACUAGCUUUACUCUCGGGUAGACCCUCUCAUAGUAUCAAAAAUUCUCACUUCAACACACAAUGCCUCUUUCAUCUGACUCAAUCUAUCAUGACAAAAUUGACAUCAUGAUCAUACAAGGUUUUUGUCCAAGAGGUAACCGCUGUAACUCUCCUUGAUUUGGAUCUUCUUCAUCUACGUCAAAAAGGUUUAAGCAUACUCACAUGUAACAUCAAAUGUACCUUAAGUUUAAGCUAGAGCUACAAUAAAAUGCUAUCUUCUCGACUCGUUGCAACACUCAAAGUGGCCCUUCAUAGUGACAGAUCAAUGCCCUAUGCACGUAUUGGUAUCGAAGAACAAAGUGUAGUUUUGCCAACACUAGGUGCUCGACUUGGUACUCCAUGUGCUGUUGCUUUUUUGUCAGGCCCUUUCUUAAAUGCUUUGAGGCCAUGUGUAGACAAGUUCUUACCAAAUCACUUGUUCCUGCCACUUCUUAGCUAACUCGUAAGCCACUGGGCUACUUCGUCAAUAGUCCGUUGCAACCAUUCUUAGAGUGAGUGGUUGCUGCAUUGUCAUGAUCUUGAAAGAACUUUGUUUAAUAGACUGGCUUUGCUGUAGCUUAUAGGAUAAUUGGGCUACGUCGAUCAACUUCACACAAUCCAAUAGCACAUUCAUCCUCUCCGUUUGACCAACGAUUGAGGGAUGUAGACUUGUGGAAAAGUUGAGGCUUCAACUCAGCAACUUAAAGAGUUGGUCUAGAAUCUCAGAGUGAAUCGAGGAUUGUGGUCGCUGAUAAUCGUCUACGUUAUGCCCUAAUAUUGAUGAUGUGCUUUAGGAUUAGCCAAGCUACCUCCUCAAUUGGGAAGUCCUUUAUCGCUAGAAUAAAUAUUGUGUACUUAACGAAUUGAUCCACCACGACCAUGAGAAUCCAAUACUCUUUAAACUUACUUGCCUUGUUGGCAAACAAGACAUGUCCUCACACAAGCAUCUACAUCGUCAUGUAGGUGUGGCGAAAUGUAAUGAUCCUCCACAAGUGACAUGAAGCAGUGGAUUCCUAGAUAAACUGCCCACUUGGAAUUGUGGUACUCGCUUAGCAUCUCCUACCGUAGCUUCCCAUGAAGCAGCAUGUACAAUCGUCAUCCCUUGGUAUAGAGUAGAUCACCCGCAUAUCAGAAUUGUUGAGUCUUGCCCUCGUUUGUUGGGUCGUGUCAUAGCCCCUCCUUCAUGCGCUCGGUUUAUGGACAUUCAGGUUGAUUGAUGGCUGCCAACUCCAUCUUUCAAUUAAGUGCAUCGGUCACAGAAUUGGGCUUUUAAGUCAUGUACUAUAGCACGUGGCUGAGCUCUGCAAGGAAGUCUUGCCUAAGAGCUUGCUUUAAAAUCAGUUUUUUUUUUUUUUUUUUGGGGUUUACAAGUAGCUCAUGGUGACAUUGUCAAUGUUUGCCGUGAACCACAAUCCCAAGAGAUGAUGUUACCAUGUGCAAAUGUAGUACACCACCACCAUCAUUGCCUUCUCUUGGACCAUGAACCAUCCUUCAGUCUCAUUCAGCCUCCUUAAUUCAAAUGCCAUUGGGUGUUCUUCUUGCAUUAGAGCACCACCAAUAGCAUAAUUGAAGACGUCAAUCUCUACCUUAUAGGGCUUUGAGUGGUUGGGCCGUACAAGCAUUGGUUCUUUGGUCAUAAUUUUCUUUAGCCAAUCCAACACCUUUUGAUAUUGCGCCUUGCCGAUCAUGGGUGAGGCUGGCAACAGAUUGGAGGAAGAAGGAAGGGAAGGGAAGUAUAAACAAGAGGAAGAAAAUGGAGGAUUGGGCAUUUUAAGACUUUUUGUUAAAAAUAAGUGAUUUAGAAUAUAUUUUUCUAUGAGCAAUCACUUAAAAAGUUUUUAUUAUCGACAACAAUUUAUGUUGGAACUUUUUCAUGAAUGAUGAAAACACUAUUUCCUUCAUUCAUAUCUAUAAACGAUACGCACGAUACUUCCAUUCGUAAAAAAUGAAUGAUCGAAGAGUAUUUUCAUUAUCCACGAAAACGUUUAGAAUUAUUGUCGAUAACGAAAAUACUUUUAUUAAUUGAUCAUUUUAAACGAUACAAAUUAUUAUCUUUUAAGAAAACGUUUUUCAAAAUCAUGUAUAUUUCAUGGGAGACGGACGGGCCCAAGGUUCAGCGAGAGAGAGAUGUCGAAGAAAGCGGGCCACCCUUAUACAAUCAGCUUGAAGCUUGGAUCGUUCGAUCUGCUAAAACGCGGUUUAUCAUGGCCCUUAUUUUUAUCAUCGCUAAAUAUGAACCAUCGACGCCAGGAGUUCUGCCUGAUGUGAUCGGACUAUAUUUAAAUUAUAAUUCAUUGACCUAGACUUAGACUUAACGUCCACGUCAAGGAACAUAAAAAUCCAAAAAAAGAAUAAUAAAAUAAUAAAAAAAGAAGAAGAAAAAGACAGGGCCCUAAUCAUAGACGAUGGAGAGGACGACGUUUCGAGACAGAUCCCGGGCAUGAAACGUGUGUUUUCCUGGAGAUUUCAUAUUGCUUUUUCGAUCUUUCGCAAUUUACUGCCGAAGAAAAAGCUCUUUUGCGCGAGCAAAGAUGUCAAAAGAUCGUAGCCCAGUGGUGGCAAUUUCACAGAGAUGAUGCAUAGAGAUAUGUCAGCUUCCAUUCUGGUUAUCGUUCGUCUUUUAUCCCGAACUAAUCUCUUUCUCCCGUUAUUCGAUUAUCCUGUGCUGAAACAUUCGGUACUUAUAAUAAAAGUUAGGGCCGAAUUAUAUCUUAUGUUUAGUUCUUGCCCAAAUAGAAUAAAGUCGAAUAUAAAAUCUUAGGUUAUAUUAGGCAUUUUUUUCCUAUUUUUAUUUACAUAUUUGAAUUUGUUUCUACUCUAUAAUAAUAUCUAAUUUGUAUAUAUAUAUAUAUAUAUAUAUAUAUAUAUAUAUAUAUUAUAAUCUAUAUUAUUACAUACUUUAGGAAUAAUAAUAUAGUUUAUUAUUUGAUAAAAUUAAGGAAUCAUGGAAGGAAUUAAAAAAAAAAAAAAAAAAUCGCGAUCCUCUGUUUUCCAUCGUCUCGACUCGUUAAUUUGUCUGAGAACCCGUGUGGUCUCCCAAAUCUGUGCUGGUCAAUAAUUUGUCCCUUUCGUUUCUCCGCAUCGCGUCCUCCAAGAAACUUCUUGCUUUUCGCCCACUCCCCAGUCCCCUCAUGCUUGCCGCUCUAUAUAAAGCAACCCCUUUUGUCUACUACGAAUAUGUGCACACGCUCAGUUUUUACUUUGCUCUGAGUGUCCUUCGAGUGUUUAUAGUUUCCAAAUCAAAAGUUAAAGCAGAUACCAAUCUCAGUCUUUGAAACCCAAGAGACAUGAAGGUGAGAUUCCUUUUGUCCUUAAAGAAGUUGUCUUUUUGGCAUGGUGUGUAUUUAUGCACUCCUGUGAGAUGGGGUUUUUUAUGGUAUUCUCUCCUGCGCUUUCUUGAACACUUUUCUUGGCAUCUCUUCAUGAGUCAUCGUUUGUUUCUUUGCUGCUGUAAUUGUUUAUCGCAUAGCAUGAUUGUAUCCGUUUAUGUGAGUAGUAAUGCUCGGAAUAUCAAAUGAUGCUUCGAAUUCUUAUCUUGUUUAAACGCUGGUCUUAUCACACCACUUGUGAAUGUCGAGCUCAGUCGUCACCUUAAGAGAUUGAUAUUUACUCAAAAUCUAACUGGGUUUUGCCUUGCUCAAACUUUUGCAGAAGUUGGUGGUGAAAGUGGACUUACAUGAUGACAGAGACAGGAGCAAGGCCAUGCGAGUAGUUUCUGGUUUUGGAGGUAUUGGCUCUCUCUUUCCCUCUCUGGUUUUUUUCCUUCAUUCUCCCAUAGAAUGUUCAAAUCGCCGCUGUAAUAACUUAUCAGAAAUGUUCGGCUUUUUCAUUGGCCUUUGUCGCAUUGUGUUUUCCAGGGAUUGGGUCUCUGGCUAUGGAAUCGAAGGACAACAAACUAACAGUAUCGGGCGAUUUUGACCCGGUCAAGGUAGUGAACAAACUGAGGAAAUCUUGGUACACAGAAAUCGUGAGCGUUGGAGCAGCCAAGGAAGAUGAUGGCAAGAAAGACGAGGGAAAGAAAGAGGAGGGCAAGAAGGACGAUCAAGUCGCCAAUCUCGUAAAAGCCUAUGAAGCAUACUAUCCUAUGCCGGUCACAUAUUACUGUCUGCCCCCUGAAGAGACCCCAAGUUGUGUCAUAUGUUAAAAUUCUUUGUGCUUCCAGACCGAAUCAGGACUUGGUUUGUGCACUGGAGAGGAUUGAAUAAGUAAGGUUGAUUAUGCCUUGUGAACACAAGAACAAGCGGAGUACCUUUACGAGAAUAUCAGGCUUUUAUUGCGUCGUCCGGCACUUGCAUGUGCGUAGGGUGUAUGUGUAAAGAGAUUAGUUUUCACUUAGGAACUCAAUGUAUGGAAAAUCCAUUAUGUACUCCGUUUCAGCAAACGAUUGUUUUCGGUGACUGGAAUAUUCUUAUUUUGCUGAAUUAUAAUAUUCUUGAAAAAAUUACGGUCAGAUACUAAAUGUGAUCCAUGCUUGUGUUCCGUUGACUCAGUAAUUGCUUUGGCUUAUGAUAAAUUCUGGUGACUAGCCAGGCCAAGUGACUUCAGCCAAGCUGCAAGCGAGCAGGUUAUACUUGCUGACAUUACUCGAAAACUUCUUAACCAAACCAAGAUAACCUUGCAUGCCGAAAGUUGUUGUCGUUUUCUUGUGUUGCUUGCUUAAAUUUAAUCGCGAGUGUGAAUCCCGAAUGGGCCAUUUAACUAACCGGUGCGGUUCUUAUCAAUUAAACGAGAAGAAAAAAUACAGCUCUGUUUCAUUGCAUCGUUUGGAAGUAUUUGAUGACAUCGCUACAACCCUUAUCAAUGAUUGCUGAUAUAUUCCCCUAUAAGUUGAAGGGAAAAGGGAGCUUUUAUGACCAUUAUUUGCGGACUUGACACGCCUGCCACAGGGCCGAGGAUGGAUAGGGUGCUCUUUGGUUCACCUUUGAAGAAGACAUGAUAUAUACUUGUAUAUCAUACCAUCCUAGUUAGCGAACUUCAUAAUGGCAAAUCAUUCUCACUCAGUUGUCUCCGAAUCAGCAGCAAUGGAUUUCAUUAAUGAGAAUCAUAUGUCACGGGCUAAUUGAUCUAACGUUCUCUUUCCCGUAUAGCUUUAGUAAUUUCUUCCCAAGUCAAUUUUUCUCACACUCACAAAGAUGGUGGAGAGAAAUCUUUUGGAGAUAGAAUCUCUAAAUUUUAAAAAAUUAUGAUACAAAUAAAAUGGAGAAGACCCUAUAUAUACAAAUACUCCUCAAAUUAUAACCAUAGAUGUCUUCUCAAUCUAAUGGUAGAAAUUUUAUCUUCCAAUCUACCAACUAUCCGCAUUUAUUACAGGAACACUUAAGAAUAAUGAACAUUUACAAUAUUACUUGUCCCUAGGAAUAUUCUCAAGAAGACUAGAGAGGUUCGCCUGAUAUUCUUGGAUCAUUUUCGGUCCUUCAUGCAUGUGAAACCUUUGGACCAUGAUAUUCUCGUCCACCUGAUCGGGCCACAACCUUGUCACAUUUUCAACAUGGAAUGCAUCGAUUUGCUUUUUGAAUCGCCAAAGAGCUUCCACAGGUUUUUGACUAGCUUCAUUCUCCGGUGGACCCUUCCAUCAAAUAUAAAUUCUCGCUUCAGCACACAAUACCGUUAUCAUCUGACUCGAUCUGUCAUCAUGAAAUCGACAUCACGAUCAUAUUAGAUUUUUGCUCCAAGAUGUAUCCAUUACGACUCUCCUUGAUCCGACUUUUCUUCAUCUACAUAAAAAAGGUUUAAGCACAGGUAACAUCAAAUGUACCUUUAGCUUUGGCGGGGGCUCUAGUGUAUGAUACCUUCCCAACUUGUUGCAACACUCGUAAUGACCCUUCAUAGCUACAGAUCAAUCCCUUGUGCACGUCUCGGUUUCAAAGAAGUAAAUGUAGUUUUGCUAACAUUAGGUCCUCAACUUGGUACUCCAUGUGCUGUCACUUCUUGUGGUCCUAUUUCUUCAUGUGCUUCAUGGCCUUGUAUAGACAAGUCCUUACCAAGUUUGCUUGUUCUUGCCACUCCUUAGCAGACUUUUAAGUUGAUGGGCUACUCCCUUGAUAGCCCGUUGCAACUAUACUAAGAGUAAGUGGUUGUUGCCUUGUCAUGAUCUUGGAAGGAUAUUUGGUUCAUAGACUCGCUUCGCCGCAAGCUAUAGGAUAACUGGGCUAUGUCAAUCAACUUUUCACAAUCCUUUUGCAUUGUGCUCAUGCAGUGUAUGAAAUACAGCUCCAAGAGUCAUUCACUCAUUUGUCUGACCAUCAAUUUGGGGAUGUAGACUAGUGAAGAAGUUGAGCCUUCAACUCUCGCAGCUUAAAGAACUCGGUCCAAAAUCUCCCAGUGAAUUGAGGAUGGUGGUCACUCAUAAUUGUCCACGGUAUGCCCUAAUACUUGACAAUGUGCUUUAGGAAUAGCUAAACUGCAGUUGGGAAGUCCUUUGUUGCUAGCAUGAAUGUGGCAUACUUAAAGAAGCCAUCCACCAAAAUCAUGAGAGUCCGACACCCUUUGGACUUGGCAAAUUCACAAUAAAGUCCAUGGAGACACUCUACCAUGGACGCUUCAGAAUAGGAAGUGUCUCAUAGGGCCCUACCUUGUCUUGUUGGCAUGCAAGCCAUAUCCUCACAGAAUUGUCCACAUCGGUGUGUGGGUGUAGCCAAAACUAAUGAUUUUUCCAUAAGUGCCAUCAUACAUAUGAUGGAUGUGGCACCCCUCGACGGCCCCCGAUCCGUUAGGAUCGCCACAGUUCGCUUACCUUUUACUUUCCCUAAUAACAUGUCACUCUGAUACCAUAAAAUUGCAGCGGGUCCAUAUAACCUGGGGGUUUACAUCUUUUAGAUCGGUCCCUUGCGCAAUUCAUAUAACGGAAGCAUAUCCAACAACUCCAUUCCCUAUAUUCAGAAAACGAUGCACACCAACUAAACAUUUAUAGGUAAAAGCCGAGCACUUUUAUUUACUUAAACUAGAUGGACAUAAUUCAUUGAUACAUCAAAAUACCAUAGUUUUCUAUACUUGGCUAUAUUUCAAAAGAUGACCAACAUCUCCUCCAACAGUCAUAUACUUAAAGUCCAUCGAUCAGUGUCGGCGUCCAAAAGUUCCUUCAUUUGCUAUCCUCCUCCUCGCGAUCAUAUCCAACCACUUGAUUAUCUACCGGUGGCGGUAGCAGCAGAGGUAUCUUAUCUAGUCUGAAAUGUUAGUCCCCGAAGGGGUGAGUACAGCCACUCAACAGGUAAAUGACCCAAUAAAACACUCAAUGCAUCACACAAUACAAUCAUAACAAUUAUAGCAUAAGACAUAUCAUUCAAGCAUCCAUGUAUAAUUUACCUUGGAGCCAUGCAUAUGUCAUCAUACCACAUGUACACACAUCCUCAUGUAAUCAUCACCAUCAUAUCAUACAUGUACUAUCAUGUCAUAGGUGCACAUACAUCCAUGCACUCAUCAUCAUCAUGUCACAUAUGCCAUCAUGCCAUAUGUGCACAUACAUCCAUGCACUUACCAUCAUCAUGUCACACAUACCAUCAUGCCAUACACUUACCAUCAUCAUGCAUCCAUGCAUAUAACGUCAUCAUCAUGUCAUGCAUAUAUCAUCAUCAUCACGUCAUGCAUAUAUCAUCAUGCAUAAUUCAAUUUCAAUUUCAUUUUGAAUUGCCACAUUUCUCUUUCCCGGGACCAAUGUUUGCAUCCCACAUGUAUCCAAGAUCCAAUCAGACAUCCGGCUCCCCCACUCUCCGGGCAUCUCGUACCCCAACUGGCAUCAUGGGGACCCUCCGGCAUUCAGCCAUUUAAGGCCAGCGGGCAAUCGGCCGUACCCUUUUAGCCAAGCAUCUCGCACCCCAACUGGCAUUGCGAGGCAUCCCUCGGCACAAUACCUGCCGAGCUUCCGGCUCCCCCACUCUCCGGGCAUCUCGAUACCUCUCGGUACUCCCGAGGACCCUCCGGUAUCCGGCCAUUCAAGGCCACCGGGCAACCGGCCGUACCCUUCUAGCCAGGCAUCCCGACACUCCCGGGGCAUCGUCGGCUCACACCUCCAGCGGCUUUCUCAUUUAUCUCAAUUCUCAUCUUCAAUUAUAGUUCAAUUUUAACAUGGCAUGUGAUGUGAUAGCAAUCAAGAUCAUAUUCAUCCUUGAAUUCAUACAUGCAUCUCAAAUCAUCAUCAUACAUGCAGCAAGACACAAUCAUCCAUAACAAUACAAUUCAUGGAGUCCAUACAAUUUAAAAUAGUCCAUUUUCAUGCCUUUUUGGAGUUUACUAAAUUCCAGCUUGUACCAUUUUAUAAAAUAUUUAAAUUAAAUAUCCAUAUGACUCUCAAAAAUCAUGAAAUCAAGACAUGUGAUAGACAAGUCAAUAAGAUAACAAUUUCAUGAAGAGCACAUGCCCAAAAGAGUUUCACACAAGAAGAUAUAACUCACACAAGUACAGCAUGCAAUUUCGGAUAGAAACAGAAUGCGUAGUUUUUGAAAUAAUUCGAUUAAAAUACCCGAACAACCUCCGAAAAUUAUGAAAUUUUACCAGGUUAUAUCUAAGACACUAAAGUAGAUUUUCCAUGAAGAAAUCUAGGCCAGAUUCGUUCUAGAUAAUUUUCUAUAGUCAUCCGAAGCUUCUGAUUCUAGCACCGAAAACGUCCAGUAUAGCUAUCUCCGAAAUAUCGAGUUUUCACCCAUUUAUUAUUCUUCGUUUCCUCUAAAAUUUGGAUAUGUUUUACUUCAAGAGUUUCCCUACAACUUUCAUUAAGGUAUCUAAGCCAAAUUUCCAAAGAAUAGUCACCAUAUGGGUCCAUGAAGUCUCGGGUGUCCAGUACCGUGUUUCCAGAUUUACCGUCUUCAAGAGUAAGUUGAUUCAUUAGGCUAAACUUGCUCAUUUUACUUAAAAUUUGAGUAUGUUAGUCUUUAGGAUGUUCUAUACAAGUUUCGUGAAGAAGUCGAAGAGAUAUUCUUAGUAAAAAUCGACAUACAACCCACAAAACUACCAAAAGGUCAGCAAAGCAGUUCCAGAUCUAGUUUCUUCGAAGAAAGAGGGUUUUUCCCCUUAAAUCUCAACCAUUUUGUCCCAAAGUUUAGUAUGUUAUAGUUUAAGAUGUUGGCUACAAAUUUCAUGAAGGAAUCGAAGUCCAAAUCCAACUCUAAACAUGCAUGCAAGCCUCCACAAGAUUCUGGGUCGAGCGGUUCACACGAAAUCAGCAAGCCUUUUCAAGAACAAGUCACAUUCUAGCUUCGGUUUUGCCUACCCUAACAUCCGAGAUCUACCACCAACAAAUCACACAUGCAAGACACACAUGCAAGAGUGGAAAUCGAUCCCAAAUUGCCUCUAAGACCAAGUGGAUGACAGCAAAUGGACGGCACACCGGUGACGGACGGAUGGCGUGCGGGCGGCGACGGGCGGACUCCUUCUCCUCCUCGGUUCCUCUCUCUCGCACUCCCUCUCUCUCUCUCUUUGGCUUGGCCGAAUUCAACCGGCCACUCUCUCUCUCUUUUCCUUUUAUUUCCCCAAAACUCCAUCAUUAGGUUUUGCAUGCAAGUGACAAGUGGCCCCAAGGAUGAAGACACUUUGCACGUCCAUGCAAUGGGCGUGCCUCCACGUGUCCGAUUACAUGCAAGGCUGAUGGGCCUUCUUCUUGGGCCAAUCUUGGGCUUUCAUUCGGCUGGGCUUGGGCCAGCCUUGGUUGCCGAAUGGGGGGGGGUUGCGUGGGCUGGUUUUGGACGGGCUUUUGGGCCUAAAAAAAUCAGCCCACCCUCUCCUAUUCCUAUUCCACUUAACCCUUAUUUAAACAAACUUCUAGUUUCAACUUAUAAGCCCACAAAACUUUAUAAUUUAAAUCAAUAAAAUUCUACUCAUAAAGUGCACCACCAAGAAUAAGAUUUCUAUGUCAAUUUGCACUUUAAUAAAUCCUUGGGUCACUUGAAGAUACGUCUCCAUCCAAGCAAUCAUCCUUUACAAUGUUCGGCCUUAAAUUAAUUGAAACUCGUCAACUCAAUGGCUAAUACAAAAUCAAACAGUACUUCCAUUACCUACUCAUGGUUCAUGGUAUAUUUAGGAGUUGUCAUGAAAUUUUCGGACACCACAAUGGAUCCUGGAUAACCUGCUCACUUAGAAUUGUACUACUCACAGAGCACCUCUUUUCGUAGUUUCCCAUGAAGCAUCACGUAUAGUCGUCAUCCCUUGGUGUAAAGUAGAUCAGUCUCACAUUAUAAUUGUCGAGUCUUGGUCUCUUGUGCAUGCUCAAGGAGUGCCUUGGUGGUUAGGUUGUGUUGUGGCCCCCUCCUUGAUGUGCUUGGUCCAUGGACAUCGACUGAUGGUUGCCAGCUCCAUCUUUCGGCUAAGUGCAUCGGCCAAGGAGUUGGCCUUCUUAGGGUUGUAUUGCAGCACGUAGUCAAGCUUCGCAAGGAAGUCAAGCUUCGCAAGGAAGUCUUGCUAACAAGCUUGCUUUAGAAUCAACUUCUUUUGGGUUUACAAGUAGCUCAUGGAAAUGUUGUUAGCACUUGCCACAAACCACGAUCCCUUGAGAUGAUGUCGCCAUGUCCGAAGGCAGUACACCACCAUCGUCAUUGCCUUCUCUUGGACCAUGUAUCGCUGUCCGGUCCCAUUCAUCUUACUUGAUUCAAACGUCACUAGGUGUCCUUCUUGCAUUAGAACACCACCAAUAGCAUAAUUGGAGGCAUUAAUCUCUACCUCAAAGGGCUUUGAGCAGUUAGGCACUACAAGCACCAGUUCCUUAGUUAGCACUUGCUUUAAUUGAUCAAACGCCUUUUGAUAUUGAGGCUUAUAGACCAUGGGUGAGACCCUUGCCAGAUUCGGCGCAAGCAAGGCUUGCUUGAAGCCAAUGAUUAGCUGGAGGAGGAAGAAGGAAGAGGAGUAUAAUUAGGUCCCCCCUGUUGGUGUAGUAUGAUUUUGAUAUUUAAUAUCUAACUAGAGGAAGAAAACGAAAGAUUGGGUACUCAAAGACUCUUUGCUGAAAAUGAAUUAUUUAGAAUAUAAUUUUUUGUAAGAGAUCAGUUGAAAUAAUUAACUGAUAAAAAAGUUUUUAUUAUCAGUUGUAAUUUAUGUUGGAAAGUUUCUGUGGAAAAUGAAAGCACUUUUUCUUCAUCCAUAUCUGUAAAGGUUAGGAACAAUACUUCCCGUUUCUAAAAAUGAUUUCACAAAAAUGAAUGAACGAAGAGUAUUCUUAUUAUUUGCGAAAUUGUUAAAACAUAAAUUAUUAGUAAAUAACGAAAAUAUUUUUUUUAGAUUAAUUAUUUCAAGUGAUACAAAUGAUUAUUUUGUAAGAAAAUAUUGUUUAAAGUCAAGUAAUUCACAAGAGACGGACAUGCCUACGAUUCAGCUAGAGAUGGGCAUCGAAGAGAGCGGGCCACGUCUAUGCAAAGAUAUCGCCCUCCUCAUAUCGCUCGUAGCAUAAAUCGUUCGAUCUACUGAAAAGUAGUUUAUCACGGCCCUUAUUUCUUCAUUAGCGGAAUGGACUAUAGUCUUUAGCUGCCAGGAUUCCGAUGCGAUCGCACUAUAAUUAAAUAAUAAUUCAUUGACCAAGACCUCGACUUCAACGACAAAGUGAAGGAACAUAAAAAUCCAAAAAAGAAUAAUAAGAAGAAAAUAGAGAGGAUGGGAUCGAUCACGUGUGUGAAACGCGUACUUUUCAGUUUUCAGGAGAUCUCAUGUUUUACGAUUGAAGAAAAAGCUCCUUUGAGCGAGCAAAAAGGUUAUUAUCUUUCAUAUUUUUUGUCAAAAAUUUCAAAAAAAAUAAAAAAUGCCCAAGGAUGGCCGUUUCACAGAGAUGAUGUAGAGAGUAAUGUCUGCUUCGCUUCCGGUCCGAUCGUCCGUCCUUUGUCCCGUUAAUUUCGAUUUGCCCUCGUGUUGCAAGAUUUCCCUAUCAUUAACUUUUAAAGAGUUGAGACGGAACGUGGAGUGCCGCUAUAGAGAAUCGAUAGUUGAUCUCAGCGCAUUAUUCAAAGAAAUAAUUACGGAUUUAGCUUGGAAUCUCUAUUGUAGGGAUUGUCAAUUCAAUUUCAAAUUUUUUGCUGAUGAAGUCCUGGAAACUUUGUGGGGGAUUUCAAUGUGGUCCUUCCGAGGCUAACUUAUUGGAGUUUGGUCCAUUCUCCUCAUUGACGAGAUGACACGGCAUUUCUACUCCUUGGUAAGCGGGCGGAGUCUAAGGCCACCCCAAUAGGAGUCGUGAGGGAAGCGCUCUCGAGUUGCUGAAGAAUUUUUAUAAUUUGAGCAUAUUGGUAGUUUAGACUUGGACCCAUGAUGAGCAAUUAGAUAUAAAUAAUCUCUUGCUUUUGUAUUUGACAGAUAUAUGUGAUGUGCCAAUUAUAGUGCAAUCCUCCAUUAGACAUAAUCCUAUUGUAAGAGUGAACCGGGAUGAAAACAUAGUGUCUCUAAUUCUCUUUUUCGCUUUUAUUCUUGAUUUUCCUGUAAUUGUGCAUCGAAUUCUAAAAUGAUUGUCGCCUGGAAAUAGCUUGAUGACGUUGUGUUUCCACCAAGGCUAUCCACAUUGGUGUGCCAUGCGGGACAACAGGCAUACGAUUUCGGUGGCAAAUUGAUCAGAAUGAUUACAUUAGAAUUGCACUUGCGAGAUUUAGGCCUACACUGGCGAAGUUGAAAAAUUUAAAAUCGAAUUGAUAUUCAUAUGAUAAAUAAGUUGAGGAUGGAUCUGGUGAUUAUCCCAAUCGAUAAAGAUUUUUCAAUUCUAGUAUGUCGUUUAAAUUAGAUAGAAGAGAUGCGUACGUGCAAAAUCGCAAUGCAAUUCUAUCCAAUGAAAAGCUUGAACCCGUCAACUGCCUGAACUGAGUCCGUUGCCAACAUUCAAGACUCACUGCUUCAAAAGUUACCGAGUCGUGAGGGGCGACUCGCCUCUCUCUCUCUCUCCCCUUCCUAAAGUGGCGAUCCUCUGUUUUCGAUCGCCUCGACUCGUUAUUUUACUGAGAAACGGGGUGGCUCUUUCCCUCCACUCGUUAUUGUAUUGACUGGUCAAUAAUUUGUCCUUUGUUCCCCGCACCGCGUCCCCCAAGAAAUUUCUCCUCUUCACGCGCUCCUCUCAUGCUCGCCACUCUUUAUAAAGCUACCCCUUUCGUCCCCGAUACGUGCACACACUCAGUUUCAACUUGCUCCGAGUGUCCUUCGAGUGUCUCUAGCUUCCAAAUCAAAAGUCAGAGCAGUCACAAUCUCAGUUCUUGAAACCCAAGAGAAAUGAAGGUGAGAUGUCUUGAAGUCCUUCGAGAAGUUCCCUCUUUUCUUUGCAUAUUAUGUGUAUCUUGUUCACUUCUGUGAGAUGGGUUUUUGAUGUUACUCUCCUGGGUUUUCUUGAACAUUUCUCUUGGUAUCUCUCGUCUCAAGCUUCAUGAGUUAUCGUUUGCUUCUUUGCUGCUGUGAUUAUUUAUCGCAUAGCAUGAUUGUAUCUGUUUAUGUGAAUAAGAAUGCUCGGAAUACCAAAUGAUGCUUCAAAUUUUUAUUCGUUGUUGGUUAUAUAUGUCCAACUUUUUCAAACGCUACUCUGUCGCACCAGUCGUGAAUGUCGAGUUCAGUCGUCCUCGUGAGAGAUAGAUAUUUACUCAAAGUCUAACUGGGUUUUGCUUUCCUCAAACUUUUGCAGAAGUUGGUGGUGAAGGUGAAUCUACACGAUGACAGAGACAGAAGCAAGGCCAUGCAAGUAGUUUCUGGUUUUGGAGGUAUUGGCUCUCUCUCUCUCUCCGCCCGCGCCCCCGCCCCCCCUUCCUCUGUUUUUCCCCUUCAUUCUCCCAGUGAAUGUUCAAAUGUCACUGUAAUAACUAAUCAUCUUGCGCUUGAAAUGUUCGGCUUUUUCACUAACGUUUCUCACAUAAUGCUUUCCAGGGAUUGGGUCUCUGUCUAUGGACUCGAAGGACAACAAACUGACGGUAUCCGGCGAUUUCGACCCUGUCAAGCUGGUGAACAAACUGAGGAAAUCAUGGCACACAGAAAUCGUGAGCGUCGGAGCAGCCAAGGAAGAUGAUGGCAAGAAGGACGAUCAAGUUGCCAAUCUCGUAAAAGCCUAUGAAGCAUACUAUUCUUCGCCGGUCACAUAUUACUGCGUGCCCCCAGAAGAGACCCCAAAUUGUGUCAUUUGUUGAAAUUCUUUGCGCUUCCAGACUGAAUCGGGACUUGGUUUGUGCAUCGGAGAGGAUUGAAUAAGUAGGGUUGAGUAUGCCUUACGAAGACAAGAACAAGUGGAGUACCUUUUCUAGAAUUAUAGGCUUUUAUUGCGUCGUUCAGUUCUUUUAUGAGCGUAGGGUGUAUAUAUAGAGAGAUCGGUUUUCACUUGAGGAACUCAAGUUAUGUAAAAUCCAUUCCGUACUCCAUUUUAGCAAACCAUUGUUUUCGGUGACUGCAAUAUUAUUAUUCUGACGAAUUAUAAUAUUCUUGAAAAGAGUACGGUCAGAAUGUGAUCCAUGCUUUUGUUUCAUUGACUUAGUAAUUGCUUUGGCUUAUGAUAAAUUCUCUUGACUGGUUGGGUCGAAUGACUUCAGGCAAGCUGCAAACAAGCAGGUUAUAAUUGCUGAAAUUACUAGAAAACUUCUUAACCAAGCCAAGAUAAGAAAGUGUGGCCUUAGACCUUGCAUGCCGAAAAUUGUUGUUGUUUUCUUGUGUUGCUUGCUUAAAUUUGAUCGCGAGUGUGAACCCCGGAUAGGCCAUUUAACUAAUUAGUGCCGUUCUUAUCAAUUAAAUGAGAACAAAAAAGACAGCUCUAUUUCAUUGCAUCUUUUGGAAGUAUUUGAUGACGUCGCUACAACCCUCAUCAAUGAUUGCUGAUAUAUUUCCCUAUAAGUUGAAGGGAAAAGGGAGUUUUUAUGACCAUUAUUUGCGGACUUGAUGGGCCUGCCAUAGGACCAAGGAAAGGUCGCGGGGUGCUCUUUUGUUCAUCUUUGAAGACAUGAUUUAUACUUGUAAAUCAUACCAUCCUAGUUAACAAACUUUAUAAUGGCCAAUCAUUCUCACUCGAUCUUCUCCAAGCCAGUAGUAAUGGAUUUCAUUAACAAGAGUCAUAUGUCACAAGCCGGUUGAUCUAGCAUUCUCUUUACUCGUAUGGCAUUAUAAAUUUCUUUCCAAGUUAGCAUAUCUCACACACUCACAAAGAUGGUGGAGAGAAAUUCUUUCGGAGAGAGAAUCUUUGAAUUUUAAAUAUUCUUGAGAUGAUCCAAAUAAAAGGAGGAGACCUCUUUAUAUACAUGUACUCUGGGUGUCGAACAUCUGGAGUGCCAAUGUCACGCCCCGAAUCUCGAGUGCGUGCACAUCCCUCGAUGAUCAAUAAAAUUGCAACAUUCCCAAGACGCAUAGCCGACCCAUUCAUUCUAUGUACAUGCUAAACCGAAUUAAACAAUCCCCUGACAACAACAAAUAUAGGAUAGAAAAGCAAGAUAACUAAUUUAAAUAAGGGAUAAGUGUUACAGAAGUCCUAAAACUUGUUGCAAAAAUGCAUUUGAGUCCUAAAACUUGCAAAAAGUGCAAAUAAGUCAUAAAACUUGUCAAAAUGUUUCACUUGGGUCCUAAAAUUGACGUCGUUAGCCUUUUCCGUUAAAAUUGCUGACGUGGCAUUUAAAAUUAAUUUUUUUCCCCGUGGCCUUUUUUAAAUGAUUUUUUUAUUCAUUUUUUUAGAAAAAUUUAAAAUCUAAAAAAGUAGAUUUAUUUAUUUUAUCUUAUUUUCAACAAAAAAAAGAAAAGCGAAAAUUUAUUUAAAAAAGAAAACAGUUCAAAAAAAAAAAAAAAAUGGCAGCUUCGCUAAAGGGGCCGGCGACUGUCACUGGCCUUGGGUGCGGGUGGCCGGCCCUCGCCCAGCUAGGGCAAGGCCUCAACGGCCCUAGGCGAGGGCCAGCAACCCUCGCCUAGCUCGGGCGAGGGUGCCUAGAUCUGGGCACGCCGNNNNNNNNNNNNNNNNNNNNNNNNNNNNNNNNNNNNNNNNNNNNNNNNNNNNNNNNNNNNNNNNNNNNNNNNNNNNNNNNNNNNNNNNNNNNNNNNNNNNCUUAUCCCUUUAACAAACACACUUUAUAAACAAACCAGGUCAGCCCUACAAAGUUAUAUACAUAAGGUCAAGAUUAAAAAAUGACUACCAACUAACCCUACCCUGUACCCUACUACUUGGGAUCUGAGUCCACUACGACACCAUCAGGAAUGUAGAUGUCUAGCGGGUCAACUACAUCCUCUACUUCGGGCUCCAGCUCAUCCUCGAGUAACUGGUUCGUUGUGAUAUUAGCUAUAAUAUCGGCGUCAUGCACGAGGUCGAGUACCACCUCACUCUCACCCUCAACGGUAGGUUCGUUGAAGCCAUCCACCCUCCCGGACCUGGUUAGGCCCGCGACGAAAUCACGCUUUGAAUCAAUGAGGUACCAACUAAGGUUGGUCCUUAUUGACCUAGAUCAUGCUUAUGACGAGCUCGCGGGUCCAAGGAUUCCCGGGAACAGGGAAGACGGUAUGCUGCUCCUCGACCUCUCGCGGACACCCAAAAUGAACUGGUUGGACCUCCAUAUAAGGACCUGUAAAAUUGUAAAUCACGAUGGGGGUGAGACAAUGUAUCAGCAAUUCUACGCCCUAAACCUCGAUUAGAAAGGUAAUACACCUAGAGGCAGCCUAAACACACAUCAUAUGAGACUUACCUCGCCUCUACACCUCCCUGCACAUUAGCUCAACUCAUAUAAUAGAUGCAUACAAUAAAUGCACUUAAUAAUUAGAACGCUUCACUUUCACAUAUUAGUCAAUUACAUGGGUCUCGAUUAUAAGGCAAAAUCGUUAUGACAUGUCACAUUCCGUGCCACACAAUUUUGUCCCAUAAUCAGGCGCGGUCAAAUCACUCAAUCAAGCAUUCCAAUUACUUACGACCCAUCGGUCAUCCAACUCAACAAUCGGUAGUCCUCUGGCAUAGCCAGGCAUCGCAUCGCCCCAUCGAGCAUGGCAAUGUCUACCUCUAGACGACAUUCCCAAAGGAGUAUCGGUACGGCCUCUACCGCAAUCUGGCAUCCAUUGAUGUUGGGCAUUCCAUAUAGGAGCAUCAUCCACCUGACUUUCUUCGGCUAAGGAUAUCGUGCUUUGCACUCAAAUGUCUUAAUUUCAAAUAAUGUACUUGGCCUAUUUUCUUCAUAUUAAAAACACCUGGUAAAAUAAGUGUGCAUGAACACAAGAUCAUAUUGGAAGAUAAAAGGUGGUACACUCUCUUUUAAAAAUUCCACGAUUUUAUAUAGUACGACACAUGGUAUUUUUAUAAUUAAAUACCGAAAAUUCAUAUUUUUGAAAUAAUAAUUGAAAACCAUCACUCAGCAUCCAAUUUCACAAUUUAGCACUCAAUUGUACAAUCCAACACAACCAUGACGAUUAGCACAAAAUUCUGACAACCGACUAUCCCGGUAUAAUUUUUGCUAAUUAAUAAAUAAUUAAAUAAAUUGCAUUUGAUUAAAUAAAUUGUAAAAUAUUUAAAUUAAACCACUAAAUUAAAUUAACAUAAGCUAACUGGGCCACUUUAAUCAAACUAACUAAUUAAUCUAACUAACCUAGCUAAUUUAAUCUAAUAGGCUAGCUACAUAAACUAAUUAAACUAACUAAAUCACCUAACUAACAAUUCUAACUAAAUUAGCCUAAGGACUAAUUACUCUAACCAUCUAGUCACACUAACUAGCUAGUUGGACUAAUUAAGGAUUACACUAAUCCCUAAUUAACCUAACUAAUCCACCCUAAGCAUAAUUAGCCUCCUAAUUAGAGUUUAGGAGGUAAACUCACCGGAUUAGCGAAUAAAUCGGUUCACAGCAAUGGUGACGCAAAGGCAAGCAAAACUCGAGCCUACGACGACACCUAAAGAGGCUAAACCGAGGUCGGAAAAGGCCUAACACGACUCAGCUAAGGUUGAGCUUCGGCCUUGCUGGAAACGGGCAGAGGCGCGGCUUGGCUCAGCCAAUGGCACAAGGACAAGCUAGACGGCGUUUCUGGAGUGGAGCGGGCGAUGGCGGACGGCGGCUUGGUUGGGCGAAGCUACAAUGGGCGGCCAAACGUCGCGGCUUGGCGAGACGCAAAGGACGUGAGGCGGGCCUAGACGCGCGGCUCAGGGACAAUGGGCUUAGGCACAGGGAGUUGGCUCGCGGUGACCGAUGGGUGGUGCUAGGCUCAGGCGGUUGACAUGCAGGCUCAGAUGGCUUGAGAGAGGGGCUAGAGGCUUCUGUUCAAGGGGCUAUGCUAGUUUGCUACUCUGGAAAUGGUGUUUGAAGCAAGAAGGGAGAAGAAGAAGCUGAGGAAGAAGAAUAUGCUGCUGGAAGGGGAACAAAGGGCCUCAAAAGUCUUGCCAAAAUAUCUUGAAUACUUGAGUACAAGCCUCCAAAGUCUUCAGCCUUGAUCCACAACCAUUUCCCCUCCCAAGCUUCUCCAACAAGUCAAGCUUGAUGCCUAAAUGUUAUAGCCCCCCUAGCCUACGAAUUUCACCCAUUGCACUUUAAUUUCUUCACCAAUCUCUUCAAUUUGAUGUCCAAAAUUGCUGAGGAGGGAGCCAUAACAAAUUCCAUAGUUUUCCUCACCAAUUGAUCCAUCUUGAAUGCCAAAAAUCCACUCAAUUUAGCCCAUCCGAAUUUCUCGGUCCAAUUCCGCCAAAUUUUGAUUUUUUGCCAAAAAUUUGGGCUCGCUGAAAAUUCUUCAAAGGAUGAGUUGACGUCCUAAAAAUAAAUCGUGACAUACUAGAACUUUCAAUUCCUGAAACUGGGUUCAAUUUCGUGGUUAAUUUCAAUUGGACGCGAUUUUAGCGUGACCUAACCUACCGGGUAACUUUUAGGAAUUCUUAGCACAUUCGACCCGUGGUCGAUUACUUUCGAUCAAUAAUGUGCAUAUUCGACUUAUAGAUGACUCUCGGUUGUCGUAGAAAUGUCAAAGUUUCAAUUACGGGCAUAUAGUACAGAAUCGACAGAAAAAAUCGGUUUAGUGCCGUUCGACAUGAAUUUUGCAAUCAAGCGGAAUCACCCACACUUUAAUUACACGCCUUUGUCGAAUUGACCUAUCUCUGGUCUCUAAUCGAUUUUAAUGGUGUUGUAUUGACCCUUACAGAUUAGCAAUGUCGAAUAGUCGAUUUCUAAUCGAAUUCUCAAGUCUAUCGCGUUUAUAUUUCUUAACGGCUUCACUUGAUAGAUUAGUUAUCUCAUAAGUGAUCAACUCAAAGAAAAAGACUAUAGGCGCAUCGAUGAAAAGCCCAAUUCUUAUUGGGACAUGGUCGAAAAUCAGGAUGUCAUAGCCAAAACUUAAUAUGGAAGGAUACUUAAAUGUCAAAAGUUAGAAAAAUGACACUUAAGUACCAAAAUUGAAGUAAAAUGGAUCACAUAAGUGCCAACAACAAGAAAAUCCGGCCAAAAUGUUGAGGUGACAAUUUUUUGGCGAGGCAAAUGCAAAAUGACGUGUUUUGCAUGCUGACGUGGCUAGACAAAUGCAAAAAUGAUGUCGUUUUGCUACUGACGUGGGUAAAUAAUUAAUAUAAAAAUUAAUUAAAUUUAAUUUAAAACUAAUUUUCUUCAAAAAAAAAUUCUUAAAGAUGGAGAUUGCAGGCGGCGAGGGCCUAUGAGCCCUUGCCUUCGGUUGGCCGGGGUCACCGGUCCCUGGCCAAGGUCUAGCGACCCUGGGCAACCCUCUCCCCACCGUUGCCAACCCUUCUCAACAACCACAGAGAGGGCAACGGCAACAAGGGCUUCGCCCUUAGUCACGUGCUUCAUUCCUCUUUUUUUUUUUUAAUAUUAAUUUUUAUAUUAAAAUUCCAAUCCCGCCAAAACAACUUCAUUUUUGCAUUUCUUUUCUAAGUCAACUCUUCGGUGACCCACAUAGGUGAGCAAAAAUAAUAAAAAAAUUGUCAUGUAAGAUUUUCGGUAGGGUUCGCUGGAGAUGGAACUUAAGUAUCACUUUCUUAACUUUUAACACUUAAGUGUCCCAUCGUAUCAAGUUUUGGCACGUGGGUUGUAUUAAGUACUCUUUAGAUUAUAACCAUAGAUGUCUCAUCGAUUUAACAGUGGAAAUUCUAUCUUCCUAUAUGCCAAUCAUGUGCAAUUAUUAUAGGAACUCUUUGGAGUAAUGUACAUUUACAAUAUUGCUUGUCCUAGGAAUAUUCUCGAGAAUACUAGAGAAGAUCACCCGAUCUUCUAGGAUCAUUCUCGGUCCUUUGUGCGUGGGAAACUUCUGGACCAUGAUAUUCUCCUCCUCCUAAUCGGAUGACAUCCCUAUUGCAUUUUUGGCAUGGAAUGCAUCGGAUUUGCUUUCUGAAUCAUUAAAGAGUUUCCACGGGUUCUCGACUAGCUUUACUCUCCGGUAGACCCUCUCAUCAUAUCAAAUAUUCUCGCUUCAACAAACAAUGCCUCUUUCAUUUGACUCAAUCUAUCAUGAUGAAAUCGACAUCACGAUCAUACAAGGUUUUUGGUCCAAGAGGUAACUGCUGUAACUCUCAUCAAUCCGGAUCUUCUUUAUCUACGUCAAAAAGGUUUAAGCAUACUCACAUGUAACAUCGCAUGUACCUUAAGUUUCAGCUAGAGCUCUAAUAAAUGCUAUCUUCUCGACUCGUUGCAACACUCAAAGUGGCCCUUCGUAGUGACAGAUCAAUGCCCUAUGCAUGUCUUGGUAUCAAAGAACAAAGUGUAGUUUUGCCAAUGCUAGGUGCUCGACUUGGUACUCCAUGUGUCGUUGCUUCUUGUUAGCCCAUUUCUUAAUUGCUUUGAGGCCUUGUGUAGACAAGUUCUUACCAAGUCGCUUGUUCCUGCCACUCCUUAGCAAACUCGUAAGCCACUGGGCUACUCCCUCAAUAGCCCGUUGCAAUCAUACUCAGAGUGAAUGGUUGUUGCACUGUCAUGAUCUCGAAAAGACUUUGUUUAAUAGACUCGCUUUACUGUAGCUUAUAGGAUAACUGGGUUACGUCAAUCAACUUCGCACAAUCCAAUAGCACAUUCAUCCUAUCCGUUUGACCAACAAUUUAGGGAUGUAGACUUGUGGAAAUGUUGAGGCUUCAACUUAGCAACUUAAAGAGUUCGGUCUAGAAUCUCAGAGUGAAUCGAGGAUCACGGUCACUCAUAAUCGUCUGCGUUAUGCCCCAAUAUUAACGAUGUGCUUUAGGAAUAACCGAGCCACCUCCUCAUUUGGGAAGUCCUUUAUUGUUGGCAUAAACAUUACGUACUUAACGAAUUGAUCCACCAUGGCCAUGAGAAUCCGACACCCUUUAGACUUACUUGUCUUGUUGGCAAACAAGACAUGUCCUCACACAAGCAUCCACAUUGUUGUGCAGGUGUGGCCAAAUGUAAUGAUCCUCCACAAGUGCCAUGAAGUAGUGGAUCCCUAGAUAACCUGCCCACUUGGAAUUGCGGUACUCAUGUAGCAUCUUCUACUAUAGCUUCCCAUGAAGCAGCAUGUACAGUCGUCAUCCCUUGAUAUAGAGUAGGUCGCCCUCAUAUAAGAAUUGUCGAGUCUUGCCCUCGUUUGUUGGGUCGUGUCAUAGCCCUUCCUUAGUGCAUUUGGUCCUUGGACAUUCCGGUCAAUUGAUAGCUGCCAACUCCAUCUUUCAACUGAAUGCAUCGGUCACGGAAUUGGGCUUCUUAGUCAUGUAUUGCAGCACGUAGUUGAGCUCUACAAGGAAGUCUUGCCUAAGAACUUGCUUUGGAAUAAGCUUUUUUUGGGUUUAGAAGUAGCUCGUGGUGACAUAGUCAAUCUUCGCCGCGAAACACGAUCCCAAGAGAUGAUGUUACCAUGUGCAAAUGUAGUACACCAUUGCACCAUUGCCGUCAUUGCCUUUUCAUGGUCCUUCUUGCAUUAGAACAUCACCAAUAGCAUAAUUGAAGGAGUCAAUCUCUAGCUUAUAGGGCUUUGAGUGGUUGGGCCGUACGAGCAUUGGUUUUUCGGUCAUAAUUUCCUUUAGCCAAUCUAACGCCUUUUGACAUUGCGCCUUGCCAAACAUGGGCGAGGCCAGCAACCAAAUGGAGGAAGAAGGAAGGGAAGGGAAGUAUAAACAAGAGGAAGAAAAUGAAGGAUUGGGCAUUUAAAGACUUUUUGUUAAAAAUGAGUGAUUUGGAAUAUAUUUUUCUGUAAGUAAUUGCUUAAAAAAGUUUUUAUUAUCAACAACAAUUUUUGUUUGAACGUUUUCAUGGACGAUGAAAACAUUAUUUUCUUCAUUCAUAUCUAUAAACGAUACGCACGAUACUUUCCGUUCGUAAAAGUGGUUAUUUAUAUUGCUCAAAAAACUGAAUGAUCGAAGAGUAUUUUUAUUAUUCACGAAAACAUUUAGAAAAAAUUAUCAAUAACAAAAAUACUUUUCAUUAAUUGAUCAUUUUAAAUGAUACAAACGAUUAUCUUUUAAGAAACGUUUUUCAAAAUCAUGUAUUUCAUGGGAGACGGACGGGCCUAAGGUUCAGCGAGAGAUAGAAGUCGGAGAGAGCGGACCACCCUUAUACAAUCAGCUUGUAGCUUGGAUCAUUCGAUCUGCUAAAACGCGGUUUAUCAUGGCCCUUAUUUUUAUCAUCGCUAAAUAUGAACCAUCGAUGCCAGGAAUUCUGCCUGAUGUGAUCGGACUAUAUUUAAAUUAUAAUUCAUUGACCUAGACUUGGACUUCAACGUCCACAUCAAGGAACAUAAAAAUCCGAAAAAAGAAUAACAAAAUAAUAAUAAAAAGAAAAAGAUAAUUCAUUGACCUGCUAAAACGUGGUUUAUCACGGCCCUUCUUUUUACAUUAGCUGAACGAACCAUCUCUGCCAGCAAUUCUGAUUGAUGUGAUGGAUUAUAAUUAAAUGAUAAUUCAUUGCCAAGACCUUGACUUCACCGCCAACGUCCAGGAAACAUAACAAUCCAGAAAAGAAUAUUAAUAAAAAGAAAAAAGAAAGGGCCCUUUCACGGACGAUGGAAAUGACGACAAUCACCAUCUCCAACGUAGCAUUUCGACCCGUUCGAGAGGAUGGGAUCGAUCGCGUGCAUGAACGCGUGCUUUCUUGGAGAUUUCUUGUUACUCGGCCCUUCGGCUUUUUUCGAUCUUUUCUUAUCUCACGAAUCACGAUUGAAGAAAAAGCUCCUUUACGCGAGCAAAAAAGUUAUCAUCUUUCUCAUUUUUUUGUCAAUUUUUUUAUUUAAAAAAAACCCAGUAAUGGCAUUUCAACAAAGAUGAUGCAAGGAGUGAUGUCUGCUUCGAUUCCUGUCCGAUCGUUCGUCUUUUGUCCCGAUACUCUCUCCCUUUUAUUUCAAUUUGCUCUCGUGCUGCAAGAUUUUCCUAUCAUAAACUCUUAAAGAAUUGAGACGGUAGAGAAUCAAUAAUUGAUCUUAGUGCAUUUUCAAAUGAAAAAAUUAUGGAUUUAGCUUGAAACCUCCAUCGCACAGAUUAUCAAUUUAACUUUGAAUUUUUGCUGAUGAAGUCCUAGAAACUUUGCAUAGGCUUUCCAUGCAGUCCUUCUGAGGCUAGUCUACUGGAGUGUGGUCCAUUCUCCUCAUUGACAUGAUGACAAUUGGGGGUCCUGCUCCUCGGUAAGCAGACGGAGUCCAAGGCCACCCUAGUAGGGGUCGUGAGGGAAGCACCCUCAAGUUGCCAAAAGAUUUUUAUAAUUUGAGCAUAUACUUUAUUGGUAGUUUAGGCUUAAAUCCACGAUGAGCGACUAGGUAUAUAUAAUCUCUUUCUUAUACAUUUAAGAGAUACAUGAGAUGUGUCAAUUAUAGUCCAAUCCUUUAUUGGACAAAAUCCUAAUUUAAGAGUAACGCGGGAUGAGAAUCUUGUGUCUCGAAUUCUUUUUCUUGCUUGUAUGCUUGAUUUCCUUGUGACUAUGCAUCAAAUCCUAACACGAUUGUCACCCAAAAAUCGCUUGGUGACAUUGUGUUUCAAGCAAAGCUGUCCGCAUUGGCGAGCCAUGCGGGACAACAGGCAUGCGAUUUUGGUGGCAUAUUGAUUGGAAAUAUUACAUUAGAAUUGUGCUUGCGAGAUUUAGGACUACAUCGACGAAGUUGAAAAAUUUAGAACUGCAUAAAUGCUCAUACGAUAAAUAAGUUGAGGAUAGCUCCAAUGAUUAUCCCUAUAGAUAAAGAUUUUUCAAUUCUUAUAUUGUCAUUUAGAUUAGAUGGAAGAGACGCAUACGUGCAAAAUCGCAAUGCAAUUCUAUCUAACGAAAAGCUUGAACCCGCCAACUGCCUGAACUGAGUCGGUUGCCAACAUUCAAGACUCACUGCUUCAAAAGUCAUCGAGUCGCGAGGGGCGACUCGACCGAGUCACUUCAAAAGCCCCCGAGUCGUGAGGGGCGAUUCGCCUCUCUCCUUCUCUCUCUCUCCUUCCUAAAGUGGCGAUCCUCUGUUUUCGAUCGCCUCGACUCGUUAUUUUACUGAGAAACGGGGUGGCUCUUUCCCUCGACUCGUUAUUGUAUUGACUGGUCAAUAAUUUGUUCCCCGCACCGCGUCCCCCAAGAAAUUUCUCCUCUUCACGCGCUCCUCUCAAGCUCGCCACUCUAUAUAAAGCAACCCCUUUCGUCCCCGAUACGUGCACACUCUCAGUUUCAGCUUGCUCCGAGUGUCCUUCGAGUGUUAUUACCUUCCAAAUCAAAAGUUAGAGCAGUGACUCAUCUGAGGUUCUUGAAACCCAAAAGAAAUGAAGGUGAGAUUUCUUGAAGUCCUUCGAAAAGUUCUCUCUUUUCUUGCAUAUUAUGGGUAUCUUUUUCACUUCUGUGAGAUGGGGUUCUAGAUGUUCCUCUCUCCUGGGUUUUCUUGAACACUUCUCUUGGUAUCUCUCGUCUCAAGCUUCAUGAGUUAUCGUUUGCUUCUUUGCUGCUGUAAUUUUAUCGCAUAGCAUGAUUGUAUCUGUUUAUGUGAAUAAGAAUGCUCGGAAUACCGAAUGAUGCUUCGAAUUCUUAUUCGUUGUUGGUUUAUGUGGCCAACUUGCUUAAGCGCUAGUCUGUCGCACCACUCGUGAAUGCCGAGUUCGGUCGUCCUCGUGAGAGAGUGAUAUUUACUCAAAGUCUAACUGAGUUUUGCUUUCCUCAAACUUUUGCAGAAGUUGGUGGCGAAAGUGAAUCUCCAUGAUGACAGAGACAGGAGCAAGGCCAUGCGAGUAGUUUCUGGCUUUGGAGGUAUUGGCUCUCUCUCUCUCUCACUCUCUCUCCCCCGCUCUCUGUUUUUCCCCUUAGUCUCCCACUAAAUCUUCAAAUCGUCACUGUAAUAACUAAACAUCUUGUGCUUGAAAAGUUCGGCUUUAUCACUAACCUUUCUCACAUAAUGCUUUGCAGGGAUUGGGUCUCUGUCUAUGGACUCGAAGGACAACAAACUGACGGUAUCCGGUGAUUUCGACCCUGUCAAGGUGUUGAACAAACUGAGGAAAUCUUGGCACACAGAAAUCGUGAGCGUUGGAGCAGCCGAGGAUGAUGAUGGCAAGAAAGACGAGGGCAAGAAGGACGAUCAAGUCGCCAAUCUCGUAAAAGCCUAUGAAGCAUACUAUCCUACGCCGGUCACAUAUUACUGCGUGCCCCCAGGAGAGACCCCAAAUUGCGUCAUUUGUUGAAAUUCUUUGCGCUUCCAGACCGAAUCAGGACUUGGUUUGUGCAGCGGAGAGAAUUGAGUAUGUAAGGUUGAUCAUGCCUUACGAAGACAAGAUCAAGUGGAGUACCCUUUCUAGAAUUAUAGGCUUUUAUUGCGUCGUUCGCUACAUGCAUGUGCGUAGGGUGUAUACAUAUAGAGAGAUUGGUUUUCACUUGAGGAACUCAAGUUAUGGAAAAUCCAUUAUGUACUCGAUUUCAGCAUAUGAUUGUUUUCGGUGACUAGAAUAUUAUUAUUCUGAUGAAUUAUAAUAUUCUUGAAAAGAGUACGGUCAGAUACUAAAUGCGAUCCAUGCUUAUGUUUCGUUGACUUAGGAAUUGCUCUGGCAUAUUAUAAAUUCUGGUGACUGGUUAGGUCAAGUGACUUGAGGCAAGCGGCAAACAAGCAGGUUAUACUUGCUGAAAUUACUCGAAAACUUCUUAACCAAACCAAGAUAAGAAAGUGGGACCUAAGACCGUGCAUGCCGAAAAUUGUUGUUGUUUUCUUGCGUUGCUUGCUUAAAUUUGAUCGUGAGUGUGAACCCCGGAUAGGCCAUUUAACUAACCAGUGCCCUUCUUAUCAAUUAAAUGAGAACAAAAAAGACAGCUGUAUUUCACUGCAUCGUUUGGAAGUAUGUGAUGACGUCGCUACAACCCUCAUCAAUGAUUGCUGAUAUGCCUAUAAGUUGAAGGGAAAAGGGACCUUUUAUGACCACUAUUUGCGGACUUGAUGGGCCUGCCACAGGACCGAGGAUGGAUGGCGGGGUGCUCUUUUGUUAAUCUCUGAAGACAUGAUAUAUACUUGUAAAUCAUACCAUCCUAGUUAACAAACUUUAUAAUGGCGAAUCACUCAAUCUUCUCCGAGCUAGUAGUAAUGGAUUUCAUUCACGAGAGUCACAUAUCACAAGCCGAUUGAUCUAGCAUUCUCUUACCCAUAUGGCUUGAGUAAUUUUUUUCCAAGUUAGCAUAUCUCACACACUCACGAAGAUGGUGGAGAGAAAUUCUUUUGGAGAGAGAAUCUCUGAAUUUUAAAUAUUUGUGAGAUGAUCCAAACAAAAGGAGGAGACCUCUUUAUAUACAAGUACUCUUUAGAUAACAACCAUAGAUAUCUCAUCAAUCUAAUGGUGGAAAUUUUAUCUUCCUAUAUACUAACUAUGUGUAUUUAUUAUAGGAACACUUCGGAGUAAUGUACAUUUACAAUAUUGCUCAUCCUAGGAAUAUUCUUGAGAAUACGGAAGAGGAUCGCCCGAUCUUCUAGGAUCAUUCUUGGUCCUUUGUGCACGGGAAACCUUUAGACCAUGAUAUUCUCCUCCACCUAAUCAGGCAAUGCCCUUGUCGCAUUUUUUGCAGGGAAUGCUUCGAUUUGCUUUAUGAAUCAUUAGAGAGCUUCCACAGGCUCCCAUCUAGCUUCACUCUCUAGUAGACCUUUCCAUCAUAUUAAAUAUUCUUGCUUUGGUGCACAAUAUCACUUUCAUUUAACUCAAUCUACCUUGAUGAAAUUGAUUUCACGAUCAUAUGAGGUUUUUUGCUUGAUGAGAUACCCAUUGCGACUCUCCUUGAUCCAGGUCUUCUUCAUCUACAUGAAAAAGUUUAAUCAUACUCAUAUGUAACAUUGGAUGUACCUUUAGUUUUGGUGGGAGCUUUGGUAUAUGCUAUCUUCUCGACUUGUUGCACCACUCAGAGUGGCAAGUUGUAACAAUGGAUCAAUUUCAUAUGCACAUCUCGGUAUCAAAGAAUUAAAUGUAGUUUUGCCUAUGCCAGGUCCUCGACUCGGUACUCUAUAUAUCGUCACUUCUUGUCGAUCCAUUUCUUCAUGUGCGUGGAGACCUUGUGUAGACAAGUCCUUACCAAGUCCACUUGUUUUUACCACUCCUUAGUGAACUUAUAAGUCGAUCGGCUACUCCCUUGAUAGCGUGUUGCAACCCUACUCAAAGUGAGUGGUCACUGCCUCGUCAUGAUCUUGAAGGGACUUUGGUUUGUAGACUCACUUCGCUACAGGUUAUAGGAUUAACUCCUAUAACCGAGCUACAUCGAUCAACUUUGCACAAUCCUCUUGCAUUGUGCUCAUGUCGUGUCUGAAGUACAACUCUAAGGGCACAUGCACUCUCUUUGUCUAACUGUUGAUUUGGAGAUGUAGACUCAUGGAGAAGUUGAGGCUUUGACUCUAGCAGCUUAAAGAGCUUAGUCCAUAAUCGCCUAGUGAAUUGAGGAUUGUGGUUGCUCACAAUUGUUUGCAAUAUGCCCUAAUAUUUGAUGAUGUGCUUUAGGAAUAGCCAAGCCGCCUCCUCAGUUAGGAAGUGCUUUGUUGCUCACACGAAGGUCACGUACCUAAAGAACCGAUCCACUAGGGCCAUGAGAGUUCAAACACCCUUUGGACUUAGGUAAAUUCACAAUGAAAUCCGUGGAGACGCUCUACCAUGGACACUUUAGGAUAGGAAGUGGCUCAUGGGGCCCUGCCAACAACCGUUGUUCGAGCUUGUCUUGUUGGCACACAAGACACAUCCUCACAUAAGUGUCCACAUCGGUGCAUAGGUGUGGCUAAAAGUAAUGAUCCUCCACAAGUGCCAUAAUGCGAUGUAUCCCUAGAUAACCUCUCCACUUAGAAUUAUGGCACUUGCAUAGCACCUCCUUUGUAGCUUUCCAUGAAGCAACACGUAUAGUUGUCGCCCCUUAGAUCUCGCUCACAUUGGAAUUGUCGAGUCUUGCCCUCUCAUGCAUGCUCAAGGAGUGCGUUGGCGGAUGGGUUGUGUCACGGCCCCUCCUUAAUGUGCUUGGUCCAUGGAUAUUCAGGUUGACUAAUGGUUGUUAGCUCCAUCUUUCGGCUAAGUGUGUCGGCCACAAAAUUGGCCUUCUUAGGAUUGUACUGUAGCACGUAGUUGAGCUUCCCAAGGAAGUCUUGUCCAAGCUUGCUUUGGAAUUAGCUUUUUUGGGUUUAUAAGUAGCUCGUGGUAACAUUGUUAGCACUCGCCAUGAACCACGAUUCGAGGAGAUGAUGCUGCCAUGUGCAAAGGCAGUACACCACCACUGCCAUUGCCUUCUCUUGGACCAUGUAUCGCUGUUUGAUCUCAUUUAGAUUUCUUAAUUCAAAUGUCACCGGGUGUCCUUGCAUUAGAACACCACCAAUAGCAUAAUUAGAGGCAUCAAUCUCUACAUCAUAGAGUUUGAGUGGUAAGGCAUCAUGAGCACCGAUUCCUUGGUCAUCACUUGCUUUGGCCAAUUAAAUGCCUUUUGAUAUUGAGCCUUGUUGACCAUGGGCAAGGCCCUUGCUAGAUCCGACGAGGCUUGCCUGAGGUCGGUGAUCUACUGGAGGAAGAAGGAAGGGAAGAGAAAUAUAAUUAAGUCCUGGCCGUCGGUUUAUUAUGAUUUCGAUAUUUAAUGUUUGACUAAAGGAAAAAUAAAAAUGAAAGAUUGGGUAUUUAGAGACUCUUCAUUGAAAAUGACUAAUUUGGAAUAUAUUUUUUAGUAAGUAAUCACUUGAAAUAAUUAGCUAUUGAAAUUUUUUCAUUAUCUAUAAUAAUUUAUAUCCAAACAUUUUCAUGGAUGACGGAAACACUUUUCGUUCAUUCAUUUUUGUAAAUGGUAUAGACGGUAUUCCCUGUUUUAAAAAAUGAUUGCUCGUAUCGUUCACAAAAAAGAAUGAAUAAAAAGUAUUCUUAUUGUUCACAAAAACGUUGAAACAAAAAUUGUUAGUCGAUACGAAAAAUAUCUUUUAUUAGCUAAUUAUUUCAAAUGACAUAAAUAAUCAUUUAUUUAAAAAAUAUUUUUUAAGUUAUUCAUUUCUCGCAAUAUCAAUGCCCACUAAGAUUCAGUCUGAGAUGGAUCUCGAAGAGAGCGGACCACGUUUAUACAAUGAUCGUUCGACCUGCUAAAACGUGGUUUAUCACGGCCCUUCUUUUUGCAUUAGCUGAACGAACCAUCUCUGCCAGCAAUUCUGACCGAUGUGAUGGAUUAUAAUUAAAUAAUAAUUCAUUGACCAAGACUUCGACUUCACGGCCAACGUCCAGGAAACAUAACAAUCCAGAAAGGAACAUUAAUAAAAAGAAAAAAGAAAGGGCCCUUUCACGGACGAUGGAAAUGACGACGAUCACCAUCUCCAACGUAGCAUUUCGACCCGUUCGAGAGGAUGGGAUCGAUCUUGUGCAUGAAACGCGUGCUUUCCUGGAGAUUUCAUGUUUCUCGGCCCUUCGGCUUUUUUCGAUCUUUUCUCAUCUCACGAAUCGCGAUUGAAGAAAAAGCUCCUUUACGCGAGGAGAAGAGUUAUGAUCUUUCUCAUUUUUUGUCAAAAUUUUUUUUAAAAAAAAAUGCCCAGUAAUGGCAUUUCAACAGAGAUGAUGCAAGGAGUGAUGUCUGCUUCGAUUCCUGUCCGAUCGUCCGUCUUUUAUCCCGAUCCUCUCUCCCGUUUAUUUCAAUUUGCCCUCGCGCUGCAAGAUUUUCCUAUCAUAAACUCUUACAGAAUUGAGACGGUAGAGAAUCAAUGAUUGAUCUCAGUGCAUUUUCAAAUGAAAAAAUUAUGGAUUUAGCUUGAAACCUCUAUCGCACAGAUUGUCAAUUUAACUUCGAAUUUUUGCUGAUGAAGUCCUAGAAACUUUGCAUAGGCUUUCCAUGCAGUCCUUCUGAGGCUAGUUUAUUGGAACGUGGUCCAUUCUCCUCAUUGACAUGAUGACGUGGAGGUCCUGCUCCUCGGCAAGCGGGCGGAGUCCAAGGCCACCCUAGGUGGGGUCGUGAGGGAAGCACCCUCAAGUUGCCAAAAGAUUUUUAUAAUUUGAGCAUAUACUUUAUUGGUAGUUUAGGCUUAAAUCCACGAUGAGCAACUAGGUAUAUAUAAUCUCUUUCUUAUACAUUUAAGAGAUACAUGAGAUGUGUCAAUUAUAGUGCAAUCCUUUAUUGGACAAAAUCCUAAUUUAAGAGUAAAGCGGGAUGAGAAUCUUGUGUCUCGAAUUCUUUUUCUUGCUUGUAUGCUUGAUUUCCUUGUGACUGUGCAUCAAAUCCUAACACGAUUGUCACCCAAAAAUCGCUUGGUGACAUUGUGUUUCAAGCAAAGCUGUCCGCAUUGGCGAGCCAUGCGGCGGGACAACAGGCAUGCGAUUUUGGUGGUAUAUUCAUUGGAAAUAUUAAAUUAGAAUUGUGCUUGCGAGAUUUAGGACUACAUCGACGAAGUUGAAAAAUUUAGAACUGCAUAAAUACUCAUACGAUAAAUAAGUUGAGGAUAGCUCCAAUGAUUAUCCCUAUAGAUAAAGAUUUUUCAAUUCUUAUAUUGUCAUUUAGAUUAGAUGGAAGAGAUGCAUACGUGCAAAAUCGCAAUGCAAUUCUAUCUAACGAAAAGCUUGAACCCGCCAACUGCCUGAACUGAGUCAGUUGCCAACAUUCAAGACUCACUGCUUCAAAAGUCACCGAGUCGCGAGGGGCGACUCGACUGAGUCACUUCAAAAGCCCCCGAGUCGUGAGGGGCGACUCGCCUCUCUCCUUCUCUCCUUCUCUCUCUCUCCUUCCUAAAGUGGCGAUCCUCUGUUUUCGAGCGCCUCGACUCGUUAUUUUACUGAGAAACGGGGUGGCUCUUUCCCUCGACUCGUUAUUGUAUUGACUGGUCAAUAAUUUGUCCUUUGUUUUCCGCACCGCGUCCUCCAAGAAAAUUCUCCUCUUAACGCACUCCUCUCAAGCUCGCCACUUUAUAUAAAGCAACCCCUUUCGUCCCCGAUACGUGCACACUCUCAGUUUCAGCUUGCUUCGAGUGUCCUUCGAGUGUUAUUACCUUCCAAAUCAAAAGUUAGAGCAGUCACUCAUCUGAGGUUCUUGAAACCCAAAAGAAAUGAAGGUGAGAUUUCUUGAAAUUCUUCGAAAAGUUCUCUCUUUUCUUGCAUAUUAUGGGUAUCUUGUUCACUUCUGUGAGAUGGGGUUCUAGAUGUUCCUCUCUCCUGGGUUUUCUUGAACACUUCUGUUGGUAUCUCUCGUCUCAAGCUUCAUGAGUUAUCGUUUGCUUCUUUACUGCUGUAAUUUUUUAUCGCAUAGUAUGAUUGUAUCUGUUUAUGUGAAUAAGAAUGCUCGGAAUACCGAAUGAUGCUUCGAAUUCUUAUUCGUUGUUGGUUUAUGUGGCCAACUUGCUUAAACGCUAGUCUGUCGCACCACUCGUGAAUGCUGAGUUCGGUCGUCCUCGUGAGAGAUUGAUAUUUACUCAAAGUCUAACUGAGUUUUGCUUUCCUCAAACUUUUGCAGAAG